RNAcentral lists this long non-coding RNA (72774 nucleotides) under Setaria viridis. Its description in RNAcentral is "long non-coding RNA (SVIR_LNC010032)". Lineage: Eukaryota; Viridiplantae; Streptophyta; Magnoliopsida; Poales; Poaceae. The record is from RNAcentral.
UUCCGCUGAGAAUAAAUUUAAGUAAAAAACAUGCACACACAGAUAAUAAUAAUAAUCAUGUUUCCAUAAAAUUGCUAAGUCCAGAGAUAAUACAUAAACAUAGUAGACUGUUCAUGACACAUAUCACGGUGGACAGUGUUUGUGUCCUUAUUACAAGCAACGAGAGAUGCUCGUCACCAACACGCGCGCGCACAGAUGCACGACAUACAUAUAGUAGAGACCAACAGAUGGUCGUCCCAUAUGGUGAACAAUUUAUUGGGGAUAAAUAUUAACGUAACUUGGCCAUAGCUUGAAGCAUAGCAACAUAUGCCUAUGAGUGGCAUUCAUGCUAUCGUUUUAGGCUUGUCCAGCUCCUUCCAUCUUAGCAAGCACUUCCAUUUCUACCAUCUUAGCAGCAACUGUCAAAUUGAGAUACGGAAAUCCCAUUAGCGCAUGAGUUAAUUUUGCAGUGGAAAUAGAGUACAAGAUGUCUUCAUGAUGUAAGUAAUAUGCCUGAAGUUGUGAGAUGGGAAGUGAAGUCAACAAAUUACAUUAACGGAAAUGCAUGGAAGGCCACACAUACGUAUUAGUCCAUGAUAUGCUACAAAGCUUGUAUGUACAUAUAGCAAAUUAAAUGCAUUAAUUGAAUAGAGUGUGUUUAGUGAAUUUACCAGAAUCGUCCAGAAAACAUGGGAAACAGCAAGUGUUCUUGCAGACUGCGUCGGAGGCACCCGCACGAAUACAAAGCUGACAACAUAGUUUUGCCUGGGCGGAUGCGCAGCAGCCGCACUCCGCCGCGGUGGGGUUAACAUUGAGGCUCAAGAUGACCAGGCACAUGAUCACCAUCAAAGUGGUAGUCCUCUUUCCCUCCAUUGCCUCCUCUUAGCUUGCUGCUACCUUCCUUGGUUACCUAGCUAAGUUUAUUGGUUUUGUGUUGAGAGGUGUGAUUUUUGAAUGGACGUUGCCGGCGGCAAUUUAUAGGCAGCUGAGCUAUGUGAUGAUAUGGACUAGGUGCAAAUGGGUGGUUAAUGGCAAGGAAAGGGGCGUCAGACAAAGCCCAAUGGCAACUGCUGACAUGCGAUUAAAUUCAGAUCCACAUCCGGCCAUUCAAUAAUACGGUUGGAGUUGUGGCACAGAUAUAUUAUUGCAUGAUCAUCAAGAUAAGAUCGUACAGUGACUGAGUGAGACAAUAAAUAGCCAAGUAAACUAUUUUAUCCUGCUGCAAGCUGCAUUCAUAAGUUUAUUUCACCUUUGAUCACAAUACUCUUCACACACGUACGUCUCAGGGAGAUCUCACUUCCGCUGGACUGCUCACUUCCGCUGUCGUCGGUACUGCCAAAGACAUAAGCUCACAUCUGCUAUUGCGGAGCAGGCCAAUUUGCUGCGGAACUUCGGCGACGACCUGAAGGACAUGAACUCGGUGCUGGAGUCCAUCUCAGCAGCGCUCUAGGACGCUGACACCGGUAGAAAAACGACCUUCCAUCGUCAACAAAAAUCCCGGUAGCUUUUUUACUCGGUACUAAAGAGGUUUUAAUCUCGUGCAAACACCUUUAGUCCAGAUUGCUAUUACCACGCAACCCGGACUAAAGCGUCCCCCGCGAGUUAGUAUAUAAGGAUUGCAUCCUUUACUCAGUCAGAUAUAAUAUGUAGGUGAGAUGGUAAGGAAGCUAUGCGUGAGGCUUCAGGUUGUGGGUUCGAAUCCAAGUGGGUGCAGCUGUGGCUUAAGCGGCUGAGGCACGCCGCCAUAGACAUCUCAGAUUUGCUCGAAGACUACCAAGACACUAGUGAACCCUUAACAGUAAAGGUGAGUACUUAUGAAUGUCAGCAUCCAUGUUGUCCAUGCUUCCAAUGUAAUAACAAGAUGGACUACUCUUCCUAGCGGACUCUUCACAACCACUCGUAAAGCUAUGCGUUUCUCAAUGCAAUUUCGUAGAAGCCAAUCGAUCCAACCAAGUGACUAAAUCAUUCGUCCUUUCCAAUGAUGUGCAUCAGGUUUUCUAUAUGAAGGGCAUGUCUAGCAAACCUAAGAUUUCAGAAGAAAAAGAAAAAUCAUUGGAGCCAAAGAGCCACAUAGUUCUUCUAGGAAAAAAAUCAUGGGAGUCGAGAACAUAUCAAACCAAUCAGGGGAUUAUGGUCAGCUUAAUGGCAUGCCUCCAUUCGAUGUCGAAGUUCACCCAAGCAUCAUGUUAGCCAAACAUCAAAUGUUCGUGCGUUGUUACGGUAAAGAUCAAUUGUGUUUUUUAAACUCUUGGAAUUUUUUUAUCUAAGUUUUUAUUUACACUUAUUGGAUGUCUACACAUUUGCUAGAAAACUAAAAUAAUUUGGACUUAAUUAUUUCUUUCAACUGAAGUACUCACUAAAUUUCUACCUUUUUAUUUAAGCAAGAGAGUUGCUAAAAAAAAUGGAUACGUAACCAUGUUGUAUCAUACAAAGUAACCACGUUUCACAUAUAGUCCGGCUUAGCAAACACCAUUGUUUUCUGAACAUAGCGUACAUGAGUUAACAGACAUGGAUUUAUUUCUAUUGCAAGUAGCAUAGCGUACAACCUGCCUGCACCGAUGCAGCUCAAUAUGCGAUAAUUUUUAUCUUCCCAUGUAAUUUUUCUACUCUAGUACAUAUUGAACUCCACAUUAAUGUCAUGUUCUUUCGCGCCCCAGAAGGUUCCUAAAGUUUGGAAACUUAAUAGAUAGCCAGAAUUUUUUUUAAAGAUAUUUAUAUGGAUACUUGUAUGUUCUUUCCAAACUAACAAUAUUGUUUACCAAUAUCAGAAGGAAUAUGGUUAGGAGCCAUUGCCGCAUAUGGCAGGUGAUGGUAGAUGGCGUAUGGGGUUUCGUUAAUUUAAUGGUAUAAUAAGCUGAAAUACAUUUUCUAUUUGCAAAUGAAUCAUAGCUGAAAUUGGUGGGAUUGUUUUUUCGCCGGUUUAGCAUCCUGUGCACCAGUUCAACCGGAGGGAAGCUGUUUUUUUUCUUUGGUUUUCCACCGGUUCACCGAGACCGAUGACAAUUUUAUGGCAGAAUCAUUACUUGUUUUACUAUUAGGUGAAGAUUUUAGCGUUUAGGUAUCUCACAUUAAACGCAACUUCAACAAUCUAUUUCUAGUGUAUAAUGUAGGAGACCCCGUAAAGAGUCUACACACACAUAUAUGUUGACUAUGAAUGUAAGUUUGUUGGUUUUAUGUAUGUUCGUUUGGAGUUUAUAUAAAUUUUACAUUUUAUAGUUUUGUGUAUAUGACGAAGAUCCAUGACUUGCAUUAAUUUAGCCUUUCUUCCAACAACUCUUAUGCAUGCUGUUUCUAGGCGAGCGUACUGGUUGCAAUUUUGGUCCCCGAUAUAGUGUGAGGACUUAAGGGACACGUGCAGGUCGUAACCUUAGAUAUUUUUGCUGAGAAUGGAUGAAGAAGCAAUAAUAUACUUUGCUUCUGAUUUUCUCCAUGUCAUUUGCUUACUCUUAUCCCUUUUAUUUAUCAUUAUAAGAUGAAAAUAUUGUAAAAACUUGGCUACGUGCGGUCGCAGAAGCUAGAGACUAAAGCGUCCCCCACGAGUUACUAUAUAAAAGGAUUGCAUCCUCUACUCAGUCAUAUGUACUGUGUAGGUGAGAUGGUAAGGAAGCUAUGUGUGAGGCUUGAGGUUGUAGGUUCGAAUCCCACGCACCGCGUGCGCAUGCGCAUAUUUUGCGUGAAAAAUCGCAUGACUUGUGGUCGGCCAAGGAGAAGUGCGUGCGGCUGAGGCACGCCGCCAUAGACAUCUCGGAUUUGCUCCAAGACUACCAAGACACUAGCGAACCCUUAACGGCAAAGUUGAGUACUUACGCGUGUUAGCAUCUAUGUUGUCCAUGCUUCCAAUGCAAUAACAAGAAGGGCUACUCAUCCUAGCGGAUUCUUCACAACCACUCGUAAAGCUAUGCGUUUCUCAAUGCAAUUUCGUAGAUGUCAAUCGAUCCAACCAAGCGACUGAAUCAUUCGUCCUUGCUAAUGAUGUGCAUCAGGUUUUCUAUAUGAAGAACAUGUCUAGCAAAUCCAAGAUUUCAGAAGAAAAAUAAAAAUCAUGAGAACCAAAGCACCACGUAGUUCUUCCAGGUAAAAAAAACAAUCAUCCACUGGGAUGACACACAGUAGCGAUCCAAAACGUCCAUAUUAAGACUUUUUGAUAGCAGAAAAAACAUGAAAAUGUCUAAUAUUUGUAGUAUUAAAAGGAAAAAUAAUAUAUUCACUUGACCUUUUUUUCGUAGCAACGCACCGGUGCGUAGUCAGACUUAGGCCACGUUUGGAUACUCCCUACUAAAGUUUAGCACCUGUCACAUAGGAUGUUUGGAUACUAAUUAGGAGUAUUAAACAUAGGCUAAUUAUAAAACUAAUUGAAUAGAUGGAGUCUAAUUUGCGAGACGAAUCUAUUAAGCCUAACUAGUCCAUGAUUUGACAAUGUGGUGCUACAGUAACCAUUUGCUAAUGGUGGAUUAAUUAGGCUUAAUAGAUUCGUCUCGCGAAUUAACAUAGGGUUCUGCAAUUAAUUUUAUAAUUAGCUCAUGUCUAGUCCUUCUAAUUAGCAUCCGAACAUCUGAUAUGAUACUGCUAAAGUUUAUCACCUAGUAUCCAAAUACCCCCUUAAUGCACGAUGCCUGUGCAUCCACUGGGCCUACCCUCGUGGAUCACGCGCUCGUGGAUCACGCGCACCAUGACAUGGCUCAUUAGCUAGUCGUGCUAAUCCUUACCACCAAAUUAAAAACUAGCAUGUGUUGUGUGUUUGUGACCCUAAACGACUACCACCUUCCCGAGUCCACCGGAGUUGCCAGUUCACCACUAAGCUGACUCUCCGAGCUUCAUGUCACUGUCACCGCUCCAAAGACCUAGAUCGGUUCGCUGUGCACCCCGCUUCGUCCUGAGCUAAAUCCCAUCACGAAAGGUGACCGGAUGCUCGUUUUCGAGCGAAUUCUAGCGAGAUUGCCACCACCUUUCCCCUUCCAGCCGAUCGCAGCUGUCUGAUCACAAACCGACAGCCCAGAUCGGAUUUGACCAGGUCAAUACCGGUCAAGCCGAGAUGCAUGCUGCUUUUGCAAGAAGGCCCCUAUUUUUCUCUCGUUUUGCACUUGAGGUCCUACGCAGUUCAAAAGUAAUUAGAUCUAGAUCCUUUUUCUUCUGUUUUAGCCCUGUUCUUUUAUAAAAUCCCACCCGCCAUCCUGUUUGGUAUUUUGACAUGUUAGACCUUCUAUUUAUAUGUUUAAUUAGGUUUUAGCCCUUGGUUUCUUUAAGUUUAGCUCUUGGAAGUUUAGUUUUCUCGCAGUUAAGCCCCUGAACCUUGUUUAGUUCAUAUCUUUAGCGUUUUAAAUCCGUUUUAAGAGAUUCUUACGCCCAUAAGUUCGUGUUGAUGCAUAGAUUAGUUGACUUAUACGGACCUUGCUGAUUCAGCUCCUUCAUUGUGCUUCAGAUCUCGCUAGUGAAGAAUAAUGGAUGGGCUUUGGUUGAGCUUGUAGAUCGACCUGCAGUUGCAGUGAAUGUGCUGAGGACUGGCGGUACCAAUAAUGGGAGGCCGCUGCUCUGCUUGCUACCAAGGCCUGCGACGCUUGGACGCCAUUCAGAGUGCAUAAUUUCCAAGGAUCUCAAGGGCUCCACACCACGUUCCAAGUGUUUUUUCUUUGCCGAGUGUUUUUAGCUCGGCACUUGGCAAAGAGCUUGUUUGCCGAGUGUCCGAAAAAAACACUUGGCAAAGAGAAAACACUCGGCAAAUUUGAUGUUUCCCGUAGUGAUGUACUAUUCAAACUUGAACUGGGAUGCAGGCUUCAGUACCAAAGAGAGCUCUGGGCGCGGGUGAGCAGUGAGCUGGCCGGGCAGGGAGCUCCAAAGCGACAGCAACAAAGAGAGAAAUGCUAAGAGUAAGAACGACACACGAGGUCACUUCACAUAGAUAAUAGCAGUACGAACCAUACAAUAUCCUCUCUCAGUUUCACUCCGCCUCACACACGGCUAGCACACCAUGCAUGCCGAUUUCAUAUUAUUAAUAUUAUUUUUUGGAUGGUUGUUGAAACUAUAUAUAUAGUUAGUCCAAUCUCACGUUUCCGAUUAUAAAAAUCAACGUAAAGAGAUCGGUAGGGAGAGCCGGCAUAAUGAAGCCGACGCGUGUAAUAAGCACCAGAGCCGGCAUUUAUACAAACUGGUACGAAUAGUAAAAAACUAGAAUUUAUAAAUAAAAAAAUGAUUUGCACAUCUAUGCAAUAAUUAGGGGUUAGUGGCAGGUCUAGAGAGAUAUCUCAUCAUUAUAUCCGGUUUAACGAGGAUAAAAAAGAGUGUAUUUUCCACUCAUCAUGUUGUCUUUUCGCAGCGGUACCACUUUUCGUGUGUUGUAUCGGUCCCCUAAUACGGAGUCUCCGAGGCCCGAGAAAAUAAGGAAAGUGAUAGUAGCCCAGAAAUCGGCCAAGUUUCUUUCCCCUUUGGCUUUCCUACUAGGAUUCAGAAUCCUCUUUCGCAUGACAAUCUUAAUUAUCUCCCAUACUCCAAAACUCACAAAAACAUCAAGAGUCCGCUGAGAAUAAAUUUAAGUAAAAAACAUGCACACACAGAUAAUAAUAAUAAUCAUGUUUCCAUAAAAUUGCUAAGUCCAGAGAUAAUACAUAAACAUAGUAGACUGUUCAUGACACAUAUCACGGUGGACAGUGUUUGUGUCCUUAUUACAAGCAACGAGAGAUGCUCGUCACCAACACGCGCGCGCACAGAUGCACGACAUACAUAUAGUAGAGACCAACAGAUGGUCGUCCCAUAUGGUGAACAAUUUAUUGGAGAUAAAUAUUAACGUAACUUGGCCAUAGCUUGAAGCAUAGCAACAUAUGCCUAUGAGUGGCAUUCAUGCUAUCGUUUUAGGCUUGUCCAGCUCCUUCCAUCUUAGCAAGCACUUCCAUUUCUACCAUCUUAGCAGCAACUGUCAAAUUGAGAUACGGAAAUCCCAUUAGCGCAUGAGUUAAUUUUGCAGUGGAAAUAGAGUACAAGAUGUCUUCAUGAUGUAAGUAAUAUGCCUGAAGUUGUGAGAUGGGAAGUGAAGUCAACAAAUUACAUUAACGGAAAUGCAUGGAAGGCCACACAUACGUAUUAGUCCAUGAUAUGCUACAAAGCUUGUAUGUACAUAUAGCAAAUUAAAUGCAUUAAUUGAAUAGAGUGUGUUUAGUGAAUUUACCAGAAUCGUCCAGAAAACAUGGGAAACAGCAAGUGUUCUUGCAGACUGCGUCGGAGGCACCCGCACGAAUACAAAGCUGACAACAUAGUUUUGCCUGGGCGGAUGCGCAGCAGCCGCACUCCGCCGCGGUGGGGUUAACAUUGAGGCUCAAGAUGACCAGGCACAUGAUCACCAUCAAAGUGGUAGUCCUCUUUCCCUCCAUUGCCUCCUCUUAGCUUGCUGCUACCUUCCUUGGUUACCUAGCUAAGUUUAUUGGUUUUGUGUUGAGAGGUGUGAUUCUUGAAUGGACGUUGCCGGCGGCAAUUUAUAGGCAGCUGAGCUAUGUGAUGAUAUGGACUAGGUGCAAAUGGGUGGUUAAUGGCAAGGAAAGGGGCGUCAGACAAAGCCCAAUGGCAACUGCUGACAUGCGAUUAAAUUCAGAUCCACAUCCGGCCAUUCAAUAAUACGGUUGGAGUUGUGGCACAGAUAUAUUAUUGCAUGAUCAUCAAGAUAAGAUCGUACAGUGACUGAGUGAGACAAUAAAUAGCCAAGUAAACUAUUUUAUCCUGCUGCAAGCUGCAUUCAUAAGUUUAUUUCACCUUUGAUCACAAUACUCUUCACACACGUACGUCUCAGGGAGAUCUCACUUCCGCUGGACUGCUCACUUCCGCUGUCGUCGGUACUGCCAAAGACAUAAGCUCACAUCUGCUAUUGCGGAGCAGGCCAAUUUGCUGCGGAACUUCGGCGACGACCUGAAGGACAUGAACUCGGUGCUGGAGUCCAUCUCAGCAGCGCUCUAGGACGCUGACACCGGUAGAAAAACGACCUUCCAUCGUCAACAAAAAUCCCGGUAGCUUUUUUACUCGGUACUAAAGAGGUUUUAAUCUCGUGCAAACACCUUUAGUCCAGAUUGCUAUUACCACGCAACCCGGACUAAAGCGUCCCCCGCGAGUUAGUAUAUAAGGAUUGCAUCCUUUACUCAGUCAGAUAUAAUAUGUAGGUGAGAUGGUAAGGAAGCUAUGCGUGAGGCUUCAGGUUGUGGGUUCGAAUCCAAGUGGGUGCAGCUGUGGCUUAAGCGGCUGAGGCACGCCGCCAUAGACAUCUCAGAUUUGCUCGAAGACUACCAAGACACUAGUGAACCCUUAACAGUAAAGGUGAGUACUUAUGAAUGUCAGCAUCCAUGUUGUCCAUGCUUCCAAUGUAAUAACAAGAUGGACUACUCUUCCUAGCGGACUCUUCACAACCACUCGUAAAGCUAUGCGUUUCUCAAUGCAAUUUCGUAGAAGCCAAUCGAUCCAACCAAGUGACUAAAUCAUUCGUCCUUUCCAAUGAUGUGCAUCAGGUUUUCUAUAUGAAGGGCAUGUCUAGCAAACCUAAGAUUUCAGAAGAAAAAGAAAAAUCAUUGGAGCCAAAGAGCCACAUAGUUCUUCUAGGAAAAAAAUCAUGGGAGUCGAGAACAUAUCAAACCAAUCAGGGGAUUAUGGUCAGCUUAAUGGCAUGCCUCCAUUCGAUGUCGAAGUUCACCCAAGCAUCAUGUUAGCCAAACAUCAAAUGUUCGUGCGUUGUUACGGUAAAGAUCAAUUGUGUUUUUUAAACUCUUGGAAUUUUUUUAUCUAAGUUUUUAUUUACACUUAUUGGAUGUCUACACAUUUGCUAGAAAACUAAAAUAAUUUGGACUUAAUUAUUUCUUUCAACUGAAGUACUCACUAAAUUUCUACCUUUUUAUUUAAGCAAGAGAGUUGCUAAAAAAAAUGGAUACGUAACCAUGUUGUAUCAUACAAAGUAACCACGUUUCACAUAUAGUCCGGCUUAGCAAACACCAUUGUUUUCUGAACAUAGCGUACAUGAGUUAACAGACAUGGAUUUAUUUCUAUUGCAAGUAGCAUAGCGUACAACCUGCCUGCACCGAUGCAGCUCAAUAUGCGAUAAUUUUUAUCUUCCCAUGUAAUUUUUCUACUCUAGUACAUAUUGAACUCCACAUUAAUGUCAUGUUCUUUCGCGCCCCAGAAGGUUCCUAAAGUUUGGAAACUUAAUAGAUAGCCAGAAUUUUUUUUAAAGAUAUUUAUAUGGAUACUUGUAUGUUCUUUCCAAACUAACAAUAUUGUUUACCAAUAUCAGAAGGAAUAUGGUUAGGAGCCAUUGCCGCAUAUGGCAGGUGAUGGUAGAUGGCGUAUGGGGUUUCGUUAAUUUAAUGGUAUAAUAAGCUGAAAUACAUUUUCUAUUUGCAAAUGAAUCAUAGCUGAAAUUGGUGGGAUUGUUUUUUCGCCGGUUUAGCAUCCUGUGCACCAGUUCAACCGGAGGGAAGCUGUUUUUUUUCUUUGGUUUUCCACCGGUUCACCGAGACCGAUGACAAUUUUAUGGCAGAAUCAUUACUUGUUUUACUAUUAGGUGAAGAUUUUAGCGUUUAGGUAUCUCACAUUAAACGCAACUUCAACAAUCUAUUUCUAGUGUAUAAUGUAGGAGACCCCGUAAAGAGUCUACACACACAUAUAUGUUGACUAUGAAUGUAAGUUUGUUGGUUUUAUGUAUGUUCGUUUGGAGUUUAUAUAAAUUUUACAUUUUAUAGUUUUGUGUAUAUGACGAAGAUCCAUGACUUGCAUUAAUUUAGCCUUUCUUCCAACAACUCUUAUGCAUGAUGUUUCUAGGCGAGCGUACUGGUUGCAAUUUUGGUCCCCGAUAUAGUGUGAGGACUUAAGGGACACGUGCAGGUCGUAACCUUAGAUAUUUUUGCUGAGAAUGGAUGAAGAAGCAAUAAUAUACUUUGCUUCUGAUUUUCUCCAUGUCAUUUGCUUACUCUUAUCCCUUUUAUUUAUCAUUAUAAGAUGAAAAUAUUGUAAAAACUUGGCUACGUGCGGUCGCAGAAGCUAGAGACUAAAGCGUCCCCCACGAGUUACUAUAUAAAAGGAUUGCAUCCUCUACUCAGUCAUAUGUACUGUGUAGGUGAGAUGGUAAGGAAGCUAUGUGUGAGGCUUGAGGUUGUAGGUUCGAAUCCCACGCACCGCGUGCGCAUGCGCAUAUUUUGCGUGAAAAAUCGCAUGACUUGUGGUCGGCCAAGGAGAAGUGCGUGCGGCUGAGGCACGCCGCCAUAGACAUCUCGGAUUUGCUCCAAGACUACCAAGACACUAGCGAACCCUUAACGGCAAAGUUGAGUACUUACGCGUGUUAGCAUCUAUGUUGUCCAUGCUUCCAAUGCAAUAACAAGAAGGGCUACUCAUCCUAGCGGAUUCUUCACAACCACUCGUAAAGCUAUGCGUUUCUCAAUGCAAUUUCGUAGAUGUCAAUCGAUCCAACCAAGCGACUGAAUCAUUCGUCCUUGCUAAUGAUGUGCAUCAGGUUUUCUAUAUGAAGAACAUGUCUAGCAAAUCCAAGAUUUCAGAAGAAAAAUAAAAAUCAUGAGAACCAAAGCACCACGUAGUUCUUCCAGGUAAAAAAAACAAUCAUCCACUGGGAUGACACACAGUAGCGAUCCAAAACGUCCAUAUUAAGACUUUUUGAUAGCAGAAAAAACAUGAAAAUGUCUAAUAUUUGUAGUAUUAAAAGGAAAAAUAAUAUAUUCACUUGACCUUUUUUUCGUAGCAACGCACCGGUGCGUAGUCAGACUUAGGCCACGUUUGGAUACUCCCUACUAAAGUUUAGCACCUGUCACAUAGGAUGUUUGGAUACUAAUUAGGAGUAUUAAACAUAGGCUAAUUAUAAAACUAAUUGAACAGAUGGAGUCUAAUUUGCGAGACGAAUCUAUUAAGCCUAACUAGUCCAUGAUUUGACAAUGUGGUGCUACAGUAACCAUUUGCUAAUGGUGGAUUAAUUAGGCUUAAUAGAUUCGUCUCGCGAAUUAACAUAGGGUUCUGCAAUUAAUUUUAUAAUUAGCUCAUGUCUAGUCCUUCUAAUUAGCAUCCGAACAUCUGAUAUGAUACUGCUAAAGUUUAUCACCUAGUAUCCAAAUACCCCCUUAAUGCACGAUGCCUGUGCAUCCACUGGGCCUACCCUCGUGGAUCACGCGCUCGUGGAUCACGCGCACCAUGACAUGGCUCAUUAGCUAGUCGUGCUAAUCCUUACCACCAAAUUAAAAACUAGCAUGUGUUGUGUGUUUGUGACCCUAAACGACUACCACCUUCCCGAGUCCACCGGAGUUGCCAGUUCACCACUAAGCUGACUCUCCGAGCUUCAUGUCACUGUCACCGCUCCAAAGACCUAGAUCGGUUCGCUGUGCACCCCGCUUCGUCCUGAGCUAAAUCCCAUCACGAAAGGUGACCGGAUGCUCGUUUUCGAGCGAAUUCUAGCGAGAUUGCCACCACCUUUCCCCUUCCAGCCGAUCGCAGCUGUCUGAUCACAAACCGACAGCCCAGAUCGGAUUUGACCAGGUCAAUACCGGUCAAGCCGAGAUGCAUGCUGCUUUUGCAAGAAGGCCCCUAUUUUUCUCUCUUUUUGCACUUGAGGUCCUACGCAGUUCAAAAGUAAUUAGAUCUAGAUCCUUUUUCUUCUGUUUUAGCCCUGUUCUUUUAUAAAAUCCCACCCGCCAUCCUGUUUGGUAUUUUGACAUGUUAGACCUUCUAUUUAUAUGUUUAAUUAGGUUUUAGCCCUUGGUUUCUUUAAGUUUAGCUCUUGGAAGUUUAGUUUUCUCGCAGUUAAGCCCCUGAACCUUGUUUAGUUCAUAUCUUUAGCGUUUUAAAUCCGUUUUAAGAGAUUCUUACGCCCAUAAGUUCGUGUUGAUGCAUAGAUUAGUUGACUUAUACGGACCUUGCUGAUUCAGCUCCUUCAUUGUGCUUCAGAUCUCGCUAGUGAAGAAUAAUGGAUGGGCUUUGGUUGAGCUUGUAGAUCGACCUGCAGUUGCAGUGAAUGUGCUGAGGACUGGCGGUACCAAUAAUGGGAGGCCGCUGCUCUGCUUGCUACCAAGGCCUGCGACGCUUGGACGCCAUUCAGAGUGCAUAAUUUCCAAGGAUCUCAAGGGCUCCACACCACGUUCCAAGUGUUUUUUCUUUGCCGAGUGUUUUUAGCUCGGCACUUGGCAAAGAGCUUGUUUGCCGAGUGUCCGAAAAAAACACUUGGCAAAGAGAAAACACUCGGCAAAUUUGAUGUUUCCCGUAGUGAUGUACUAUUCAAACUUGAACUGGGAUGCAGGCUUCAGUACCAAAGAGAGCUCUGGGCGCGGGUGAGCAGUGAGCUGGCCGGGCAGGGAGCUCCAAAGCGACAGCAACAAAGAGAGAAAUGCUAAGAGUAAGAACGACACACGAGGUCACUUCACAUAGAUAAUAGCAGUACGAACCAUACAAUAUCCUCUCUCAGUUUCACUCCGCCUCACACACGGCUAGCACACCAUGCAUGCCGAUUUCAUAUUAUUAAUAUUAUUUUUUGGAUGGUUGUUGAAACUAUAUAUAUAGUUAGUCCAAUCUCACGUUUCCGAUUAUAAAAAUCAACGUAAAGAGAUCGGUAGGGAGAGCCGGCAUAAUGAAGCCGACGCGUGUAAUAAGCACCAGAGCCGGCAUUUAUACAAACUGGUACGAAUAGUAAAAAACUAGAAUUUAUAAAUAAAAAAAUGAUUUGCACAUCUAUGCAAUAAUUAGGGGUUAGUGGCAGGUCUAGAGAGAUAUCUCAUCAUUAUAUCCGGUUUAACGAGGAUAAAAAAGAGUGUAUUUUCCACUCAUCAUGUUGUCUUUUCGCAGCGGUACCACUUUUCGUGUGUUGUAUCGGUCCCCUAAUACGGAGUCUCCGAGGCCCGAGAAAAUAAGGAAAGUGAUAGUAGCCCAGAAAUCGGCCAAGUUUCUUUCCCCUUUGGCUUUCCUACUAGGAUUCAGAAUCCUCUUUCGCAUGACAAUCUUAAUUAUCUCCCAUACUCCAAAACUCACAAAAACAUCAAGAGUCCGCUGAGAAUAAAUUUAAGUAAAAAACAUGCACACACAGAUAAUAAUAAUAAUCAUGUUUCCAUAAAAUUGCUAAGUCCAGAGAUAAUACAUAAACAUAGUAGACUGUUCAUGACACAUAUCACGGUGGACAGUGUUUGUGUCCUUAUUACAAGCAACGAGAGAUGCUCGUCACCAACACGCGCGCGCACAGAUGCACGACAUACAUAUAGUAGAGACCAACAGAUGGUCGUCCCAUAUGGUGAACAAUUUAUUGGAGAUAAAUAUUAACGUAACUUGGCCAUAGCUUGAAGCAUAGCAACAUAUGCCUAUGAGUGGCAUUCAUGCUAUCGUUUUAGGCUUGUCCAGCUCCUUCCAUCUUAGCAAGCACUUCCAUUUCUACCAUCUUAGCAGCAACUGUCAAAUUGAGAUACGGAAAUCCCAUUAGCGCAUGAGUUAAUUUUGCAGUGGAAAUAGAGUACAAGAUGUCUUCAUGAUGUAAGUAAUAUGCCUGAAGUUGUGAGAUGGGAAGUGAAGUCAACAAAUUACAUUAACGGAAAUGCAUGGAAGGCCACACAUACGUAUUAGUCCAUGAUAUGCUACAAAGCUUGUAUGUACAUAUAGCAAAUUAAAUGCAUUAAUUGAAUAGAGUGUGUUUAGUGAAUUUACCAGAAUCGUCCAGAAAACAUGGGAAACAGCAAGUGUUCUUGCAGACUGCGUCGGAGGCACCCGCACGAAUACAAAGCUGACAACAUAGUUUUGCCUGGGCGGAUGCGCAGCAGCCGCACUCCGCCGCGGUGGGGUUAACAUUGAGGCUCAAGAUGACCAGGCACAUGAUCACCAUCAAAGUGGUAGUCCUCUUUCCCUCCAUUGCCUCCUCUUAGCUUGCUGCUACCUUCCUUGGUUACCUAGCUAAGUUUAUUGGUUUUGUGUUGAGAGGUGUGAUUCUUGAAUGGACGUUGCCGGCGGCAAUUUAUAGGCAGCUGAGCUAUGUGAUGAUAUGGACUAGGUGCAAAUGGGUGGUUAAUGGCAAGGAAAGGGGCGUCAGACAAAGCCCAAUGGCAACUGCUGACAUGCGAUUAAAUUCAGAUCCACAUCCGGCCAUUCAAUAAUACGGUUGGAGUUGUGGCACAGAUAUAUUAUUGCAUGAUCAUCAAGAUAAGAUCGUACAGUGACUGAGUGAGACAAUAAAUAGCCAAGUAAACUAUUUUAUCCUGCUGCAAGCUGCAUUCAUAAGUUUAUUUCACCUUUGAUCACAAUACUCUUCACACACGUACGUCUCAGGGAGAUCUCACUUCCGCUGGACUGCUCACUUCCGCUGUCGUCGGUACUGCCAAAGACAUAAGCUCACAUCUGCUAUUGCGGAGCAGGCCAAUUUGCUGCGGAACUUCGGCGACGACCUGAAGGACAUGAACUCGGUGCUGGAGUCCAUCUCAGCAGCGCUCUAGGACGCUGACACCGGUAGAAAAACGACCUUCCAUCGUCAACAAAAAUCCCGGUAGCUUUUUUACUCGGUACUAAAGAGGUUUUAAUCUCGUGCAAACACCUUUAGUCCGGAUUGCUGUUACCACGCAACCCGAACUAAAGCGUCCCCCACGAGUUACUAUAUAAGGAUUGCAUCCUUUACUCAGUCAGAUAUAAUGUGUAGGUGAGAUGGUAAGGAAGCUAUACGUGAGGCUUCAGGUUGUGGGUUCGAAUCCAAGGAGAAGUGGGUGCAGCUGUGGCUUAAGCGGCUGAGGCACGCCGCCAUAGACAUCUCAGAUUUGCUCGAAGACUACCAAGACACUAGUGAACCCUUAACAGUAAAGGUGAGUACUUAUGAAUGUCAGCAUCCAUGUUGUCCAUGCUUCCAAUGUAAUAACAAGAUGGACUACUCUUCCUAGCGGACUCUUCACAACCACUCGUAAAGCUAUACGUUUCUCAAUGCAAUUUCGUAGAAGCCAAUCGAUCCAACCAAGUGACUAAAUCAUUCAUCCUUUCCAAUGAUGUGCAUCAGGUUUUCUACAUGAAGGGCAUCUCUAGCAAACCCAAGAUUUCAGAAGAAAAAGAAAAAUCAUUGGAGCCAAAGAGCCACAUAGUUCUUCCAGGAAAAAAAAAUCAUGGGAGUCGAGAACAAAUCAAACCAAUCAGAGGAUUAUGGUCAGCUUAAUGGCAUGCCUCCAUUCGAUGUCGAAGUUCACCCAAGCAUCAUGUUAGCCAAACAUCAAAUGUUCGUGCGUUGUUACGGUAAAGAUCAAUUGUGUUUUUUAAACUCAUGGAAUUUUUUUUCUAAGUUUUUAUUACACUUAUUGGAUGUCUACACAUUUGCUAGAAAACCAAAAUAAUUUGGACUUAAUUAUUUCUUUCAACUGAAGUACUCACUAAAUUUCUACCUUUUUAUUUAAGCAAGAGAGUUGCUAAAAAAAAUGGAUACAUAACCAUGUUGUAUCGUACAAAGCAACCACAUUUCACAUAUAGUCCGGCUUACCAAACACCAUUUUUUACUGAACAUAGCGUACAUGAGUUAAGAGACAUGGAUUUAUUUCUAUUGCAAGUAGCAUAGCGUACAACCUGCCUGCACCGAUGCAGCUCAAUAUGCGAUAAUUUUUAUCUUCCCAUGUAAUUUUUCUACUCUAGUACAUAUUGAACUCCACAUUAAUGUCAUGUUCUUUGGCGCCCCAGACGGUUCCUAAAGUUUGGAAACAAAAUAGAUAGCCAGAAAUUUUUUUAAAAAAUAUUUAUAUGGAUAUUUGUAUGUUCUUUGCAAACUAACAAUAUUGUUUACCAAUAUCAAAAGGAAUAUGGCUAGGAGCCAUUGCCGCAUAUGGCAGGUGAUGGUAGAUGGCGUAUGGGAUUUCGUUAAUUUAAUGGUAUAAUAAGCUGAAAUACAUUUUCUAUUUGCAAAUGAAUCAUAGCUGAAAGUGGUGAGAUUGUUUUUUCGCCGGUUUAGCAUCCUGUGCACCGGUUCAACUGGAGGGAAGCGGUUCACCGAGACGGAUGACAAUUUUACGGCAGAAUCAUUACUUGUUUUAUUAUUAGGUGAAGAUUUUAGCUUUUAGGUAUCUCACAUUAACAAUCUGUUUCUAGUGUAUAAUGUAGGAGACCCGUAAAGAGUCUACACACACAUAUAUAUGUUGACUAUGAAUGUAAGUUUGUUGGUUUUAUGUAUGUUCAUUUGGAGUUUAUAUAAAUUUUACAUUUUAUAGUUUUGUGUAUAUGACGAAGAUCCAUGACUUGCAUUAAUUUAACCUUUCUUCCAACAACUCUUAUGCAUGCUGUUUCUAGGGGAGCGCACUGGUUGCAAUUUUGGUCCCCGAUAUAGCAUGAGGACUUAAGGGAGACGGGCACGUCGUAACCUUAGAUAUUUUUGCAAGAAGCAAAUUAUACUUUGCUUUUGAUUUUCUCCAUGCCAUUUGCUGACUCUUAUCCCUUUUAUUUAUCAUUAUAAGAUGAAAAUAUUGUAAAAACUUGGUUACGUGCGGUCGCAGAAGCUAGAGACUAUUUCUUUUUUUAAAAAUACGCAAGAGGGAGAAACUUGGUAACAGCUAGACAGUGAAGAUCGCAUUUCAUAAGAAAGAUGGUGCACGUUCUUGUUUGGCUGUUAACGAAAUGACUUCGUUUCACCACACCACCAGAGAGCCCCAUUGCACUUGCAGCAAAAGCGUGGAGCCGCUUUCAACCAGCGUGCAAUAAUGCAGUCCCGCGUGUCUUGGUCUUACAGGAUAUUUGGUUCUUUAGUCCGGACUAAAAUUCAUGUCGCAUAGAAUAUUCAGAUGUUAAAUAGGAGGACUAAACAUGAGCUAAUUAUAAAAAUAAUUACACAAAUGGAGGCUAAUUCCCAAGACAAAUCUAUUAAGUCUAAUUAAUCCAUCAUUAGCACAUGUUUACCGUAGCACCGUAUUGUCAAAUCAUGGACUAAUUAGGCUUAAUAAAUUCGUCUCGCAAGUUAGUCUCCAUCUAUACAAUUUGUUUUAUAAUUAGUCAAUGUUUAAUACUCUAUCUAAACAUUCAAUGUGACUGAAAUUUUAGGAGGUCCUAAAGAACCAAACACCCCUUAGUCUCCGCCUGAACUAUAGCAGGUGCUGGCAGCGGUAGCAGGGUCGUCCAUUAUAUCUAUGGAUGGAAAUGAUCUGAUUCGGAUGGAAUCGAAUUCGAAUAGCACUUUUUACCACAUACUAAUCUGAAUUGGAUGUUCUCGAAUGUGAAUGCAAAACGGAUAGUUCAAAUUUGAAUACUUUGCGGAUUUUUGCAUAAUAUUAAUCGAAGAGAAUUUGUUAAAUUUAGCCGAGACAUAAAUUUUUCUAAAUUCAAAUACUUUGCAGAUUUUCGAAUGCAAAUUUUUUCAUACGAUCUCGGUUGAAUACAAACUUUAUAUCAAAGUUGUAUAUUUAGAUUAUAUAUAAAACUUUGUAGUUGACCUCCUUUUCAUUUAAAAUUUUUUAAUAGCUCAAAACAUUAUUCUAAGCUUUCUAAUUUCAAAAUCUUGAAUUUUAAAUUUUUCAAACGACCUCGGAUGCAAACAAGCUCUAUAUCAAAGUGCUUAAUGAGAUAUAAAAUUUUGUAGUUGACAAGUUUUUUAGUUGAAAACAUUUAGUUAUCACAAACAUACAAGUUCUUCAUUUGAUGUCGAGGAUUGGAAGUGUUGAGUUUGAAGAAUAUAUUCUUUGAUUACAAACUUUUCCAUAUGAUCUUGGAUGAAUACGAACUUUAUUUCAAAGUUGCAAAUUUAGAUUAGACCAAAAACAGUAUAGUUUACAAUUUUUUCAUUCAAAAUUAUUUAGUAGCUCAAAAUGUUAUUCUAAACUCUCUAAUUUUGAAAUCUUGAAUUUUAAAAUUUUCAAAUGACCUCGGAUGCAAACAAGCUCUAUAUCGAAGUGGUAGUUCUUAAUGAGAUAUAAAAUUUUGUAGUUCCAUCUGAGAUCAUUUAACAGUCACAAAUAUACAAGUUUUUCAUAUGAUGCUAAGGAUCAGAAAGAUUAAGUUUGAAGGCUGUAUUUUUUUAAUACAAAUUUUUGCAUACGAUCUCGGAUGAAUACAAACUUUAUAUCAAAAUUGUAGAGCUCGAUGAGAAUUUAAACUUUGUAGUUGAUAUAUUUUUCAUUCGAGAAUGUUUAGUGGUCCAAACAUGUAUUAUAAGUUCAGAGAAGAAACACACAAUCGGCCACGUCAUCAAUUGACAACUUCCAAACUGAGCAUUCCUAUUGGUUCACACCUUUCCCUUUCAACUCGUCAAGCUUAUCUCCUCCCACUCCUCCAUCGUUCACUCCCCCUUCCCCUUCCUCUCUCCCUCCCUCCCUCCGCUCCAGCAGUGGCAGCCCGACCUGCCUCCUAGGACGGUGGUGUGCGGGGCUCGGGCAUCCCUGGCCUCUAGUGGCGUGGCAGGGCGGCCUCCAGCAGCGAUGGCGGAACUCGGCCUCCGGUGGCGCACAGGCAGCGCAGCCUACCUGGUCAAAGGCGGCGCAACAGGGCGACCUCCCCAGCCUCCGGCGGCGCGCAGGGCAUCCAUGACCUCCCCGGCCUCCCUUGCCAGAGGUGGUGCGCGGGGCUGCGCCGACCUCCCCAACCAGAGGUGGCAAGGCCCCAGCUUACGGCGGCGCGUGGCUCCCCAGCUAGGGUGUGGUGGGGCGGCGGCAAGUCAGGCGUGGCCGCGUGGGGGUGGGGGGAGGGGGUUGGGCUGGGCGGAUUCAGAUAGUAUCCAUUUAACCAUCCGAAAUGUGGAUAUCCGUUUAACAAUCCGUUUAGCAAAACCGAAUUUGGAUACUUCCACUUAAGUAUCCAACUAGGAUUCGAAUGCGGAUGGUCCUACCAUAUUGUUAUUUCAGCGGAUACGAAUAUGGGAUAAUUCGAAUAACGACUUACCCAUCCCUGAUUAUAUCCGUGUAAAUAAAUAAUUGCGGCAGCAGGUUCCCGUCGCCACGCCCCCGUCAAACCAAACAAUUGCUUGCGCGACACCGUGUUACUAGAUCUUGUACAGUACUCCCUCCGUUGCAGUACUCCCUAAUGAAAGUUGAGAAUCGAUCGACAACCACGGCUAGUUGCUAUGCACUCGAUCAGAUGGUCCAGGCGCCCGCUGGUAAUCAGGUCGUGGUUCACGCGCAUCAGGCCAGCUAUGACGUUGCCAGCAGUGCUCAGUACACAAAUCUAGCUAUCAGUCGGAUCCAAUUGGGCAGGCAUUUGCACUGUGGUUGUGUUUGAACCUGUAGAUGUCGUUGUCAUUAUCAGGCACCAUACAUCCUCUCUCAGAGGGUGUUUCACCCCCUAAACUUUAGCCCCUCUCACAUCGAAUGUUUUAGAUACUAAUUAGGAAUAUUAAACAUAGAAAAUUUACUAAACCCAUUACAUGGAUGGAGGGUAAACGGCGAGACAAAUCUAUUAAAUCUAAUUAGUCCAUGAUUUGACAAUGUGCUGCUAUAGUAACUAUUUGCUAAUGAUGGAUUAAUUAGACUUAAUAGAUUUUUCUUGCUGUUUAGCCUCCGUCUGUGCAAUUAGUUUUAUAAUUAAUUCAUAUUUAGUCCUCCUAAUUAGUCUCCGAAUAUUUGAUGUGACACGGACUAAACUUUAGAUAGCACACCAGGGACCGACACCAUGCAUGCUGAUUUCAUAUCAUAAUUAAGGAAAGUGAUAUCAUAAUUAAGGAAAGUGGUAGCAUCCAAGAAAUCGAUCAUGUUUCUUCCCCCUUUGGCUUUCCUACUAGGAUUUGGAUAGCGGGCCUUCCUACUAGGAUUUGGAAUCCGCUAUCGCAUGACUAUCUUAAUUAUGUCCCAUAGUCCAAAACUCACAAAACAUCAAAAAUCCAUCGAGAAUAAAUUAAGUAAAAAACAUGCGCACACAGAUAAUAAUAAUAAUAAUCAUGUUUCAAUAAAAUUGCUAAGAUUAGAGAUAGUACAUAAACAUAUUAGAUUGUUCGUGACACAUAUCAUGGUGGAUAGUGUCUGUGUCCUUAUUACAAGCAGCGAUAGAUGCUUGUCACCACACACACGCACGCACAGAUGCACGACAUACAUAUAGUUGAGACCAACGGAUGGACGUCCCAUAGGGUGAAUAAUUUAUUGGAGAUAAAUAUUAACAUAACUUGGCCAUAGCUUGAAGCAUAGCAACAUAUGCUUAUGAAUGGCAUUCAUGCGGGUAGCAAUGCUAUCAUAUGCUUUUAGGCUUGUCCUUAGCUUCUUCCAUCUUAUAGCAAACACUGCCAUUUCUUCCAUCUUAGCAGCAACUGUCAAAUUAAUUGAGAUAUGGAAAUCCCAUUAGCGCAUGAGUUAAUUUUGCAGUGGAAAUAGAGUAGAAGAUGUCUUCAUAAUGUAAGUAAUAUGACUCUGACAUAGGGAGUGAAGUCAACAAAUUACAUUAACGGAAAUGCAUGGAAGGCCACGCAUAUGUAUUAGUCCGAUAUGCUACAAAGCUUGUAUGUACAUAUAAUAAAUUAAAUGCAUUGAAUAGAGUGAUUUUAGUGAAUUUACCUAAAUCGGAUUAAAAAACAUGGGAAACAACAAGUGUUCUUGUAGGGCUUUGUUUAGUUCCCAAAUUGGGAGUAGCAAAGUUUGCAUUUUACCAUAAAUGCGCAACUAUAGCAUGUAGCAUUUUGUUUGUAUUUGUGAAUUAUUAUCCAAACAUUGACUAAUUAGGCUCAAAAGAUUCAUCUCGCAAAGUACAACAAAACUGUGCAAUUAGUUUUUGAUUUCGUCUACAUUUAGUACUCCGUGCAUGUACCGCAAGUUUGAUGUGAUGGGGAAUCUUGCUUUUCAAUAGUGACAAAGUUGGGAUUUCGGGGGGAAGGCCUGUGUCGGAGCCACAUGCAAGAAUGGCUGACAUUGAGGCUCAGACAAAGCCCAAUGGCAACUGCUGACAUGCGAUUAAAUUUAGAUAUCCACAUCCAGCCAUUCACAUUUAUGAGAUAUGGACACGGUGCAAAUGGGUGGGGUCCUGAUAUGGAGGUGCGAAUGGCUGUCUACUUGUAUAGUGUAGCUCCAAUGUACGUAUAUGUAUCUUAUGCAUGUAUACAGUUGCACAAACUCUGAACCAACUCUUCAUAACAGGUCUUUGUUACCAAGUAACUUUACUUUUGCACGUUUCAGCCGAGAGGUAGAAGAGAAUAUUUUUGCAUUUUCCAUGUGCGUCAGUGGUAGAGAACUAGGAAUUAGUUCCGGAUGGUAGGGCACAAAUCUUCCAAACAACUAUCCGAAAUUAAGCAAUCGAGAUAAAGGGUGCCAUCUAUUCUCUCCGAAAAACACAGGUACCAAAAAGAAGAAGAGAAGAGGGAGGGCCUCCCGUUAAGGCCCGCUCGGGGUCUCCAUCCCACCACGCGCCCUCCCAACCCAAAGCCCAUCGUUUUCCCUCCGUCCCUCCCCUCUCCAUUGCCGCCGCCGCUCCCCUCAUCCGAGCUCGAUACGGGUGGUCGGCGGCCCCUCCUCUCCGCUCCCGCCCCCGGCCUCCCUUUGACCGCCGGGCGCCGGCAUCACUGCCGCGGCCAACCCCAGGGCGCAGCGCGUGCCUCUAUUUCUCUCCCCCGUUCAAGGGCCCUUUGAUGGCGACGAGCACCCACCCACCAGGUAUGCCCUCCCCUUCUCUUCCUAACCCUAAUAUAUUCGGAUCUCACCCAGUCACAAUAUAUUACCUAAUAGCUUCGAUUUUGUUUGCAAAAAUCAUCACGUGCGCACCCAUGUCCGCUAGAUUCUUGCGCCUGAUCCUGUGCUGCUAUGGUUUGGGCGGGGUAGACUAGUUGAUUCGUGCACUUUUGGGUGCUUGUAGUGCUAGGUUUUGGAGGGGGAUAGCCCAGUUGAUUCCUCCGUUUUGGGUGCUCAUGGUGAUAGGAUUUGGAUGGGGAUAGCCCCAAUGAUUCGUGCGCCUUUGGGUGCUGGGGAUAGUUUUGGGUGCCUGGAUAGUCCAGUUUCAAUGUCAGUAUAUGCGUAUUUUGGGGAGAAUUUUGUUUUGGGUGGUUCUGGUGCUAGAGUUUCUGAUGCUUAGUAGCCCAGUUUCAAUCAAAUUCCCCCAUGGGUCGUGCACUACGGGAAACAAGAAAAUUGCCGAGUGUAUUUUUUUUGUCGAGUGUUUUUUUUCGAGCACUCAGCAAACAAGCUCUUCGCCGAGUGCCAAGUCAAAAACACUCGGCAAAAAAAAACACUCGGCAAAUCGGGGCUUUGCCGAGUGUCAAAUAAAAAACACUCGGCAAAGAAGGGGGUUUGCCGAGUGUUAAAAAAAACACUCGGCAAACAGGAGGGUUUGCCUAGUGUUUUUUUGACACUCGGCAAAAAAAUAAUUGUUUUUCCUCUUUUCACCUUGAAAUUUUUUCUACUCCCCACAUACAACACGUGGUACUCCAUGUUAAAAUUUGGUAUAUUUUUGGAUUUAUUUGCUAUAUUUAUUUAAUUAAUUGCAUUACAAGGAAAUUUUUGGUAUAAGUCAAAUUUGAACUGCAAGUGAUUCAAAUUGUGGAACAAAAUGAGUAGAAAAAUGAUAUUCAUGUUAUUUGGCUCAAUUUGAGACCUGACCCAUGAAAUGAAAAGAAAUUUCGAACAUCUUGUUCAGGAAACACGACAAUGAACAUGUGGCGGUAGUAUUUUUAAAUUGUAAAAAAAACAAGCAAAGUCUGAAAAUCAUGAGAUUUGUAGUUAUGUGAUGAUAUAAUACGUGGAAGCUGUGGAAAAAAAUUGGAAAGGUUUUGCACAUUUCAUCAUGUACGAUGAUUACAAACCGAAGCAUAUCAGAAGAAGAAUAGUAACUUUGAGAAGGAUUCGAUAAAAUUUAGAGUCGAAGUGACGGUCGAGUUCGGUUUGACUACAAAACUUUUUGUAUAGUCAGUAGAGAACAUAUCUUAUUUCGUGUGAAAAUUUGGUAUUUUUUGAAACUGUUGGAUAUUUUUAAUUUUUUUUUAAAAAAACUUUGCCGAGUGUCCUAGGGUAGACACUCGGCAAAGAAAAACUUUACCGAGUGCCCGCCUAGGACACUCAGCGAACCUUUUUUUAAACCUACCGGCUCCGGCCGGCCCAGCCCACAAACACCACCCGCCCCCCGCCCCCGCGCCUUCUUCCUCACGCCGCCCCCGCCCCCCACCCGUGCCUCCGGACCGCCCCCUCCUCCCCCUGGCCUCCCCUCACGCCGCCCCCCUCCUCCCCUAGCUCCCUCCACCGGCGGCCCUCCCUCCCCCGGCGCACAUCCUCCACUCCUCCUCCCCUUCCCUUCCCUCCCCUCCCCUCCCCUCUUCCUCCCCUGGCCGGAUCUGGCGCCCCUAGCUCCCCUUUCUUCCGCGGCCAGAUCUGGCGCCCUCCCGGCGGCGGGUCGUGGCGAUCGGGGCGGCGGCGGCGGAUCAGGCCGCGGGGCGGCGGCGGCGGCGGGUCGUGGCUACCGGGGCGGCGCCCUGCCCCUCCCCUCCCUCUCCAUCUCCGGCUGCCGUCCACCCCCUCCCCGGAUCCGCCCCCCUCCCCUCCGCGCGGCCAGCCCCUCCUCCCUCUCCGGCCGCCGCCCCGGCCCCUCCUCUCCCUUUCUCCGGCCACCGCCCCGCCCAUCUUCUCUGGAUCCGGCCGGAUCCGGCCGCCGCACAGCCCCUCCUCCCCGGAUCCGGUGGGCGCGGACUUCGUGGUGGUGGCGCCGGAUCCCUCCCCUCCCUCUCCAGAUAACUCCCUCCACUCCUCCGCUCUUCCCCUCUCUCGCGCGGCGGCCUCUCUCCGGCCGCCGCCCCGCCCCUCUCCCCGGAUCCGGGGGGGGGGGGACUCCGCCCCUCUGCCCCGGAUCCAGCUCCCCGACCCGCGAGUGGGGCGAGCUUGCUCAUGCGGUCGACGUCGAGGCCAGGGUGUGGUGGAGGUGGUGGCCGGCGGGUGUGGUGGUGGUGGCGGCGGCGGGCAUGGCGGCGCGGAGGCAAGGCACGGCGGCCGGUGGGAGGCACGGGUGCAAGGCGUCGACGGCAGGAGGCAAGGCACGGCAGCAUGGGAGGUGGUGCUGUGGUGGUGGUGCUGGCGGUGGUGGCGGCGGCGGAGCAGGAUGUGGUGGUGGCGGAGGAUGUUUUUUUUUCAAAAAUUUGUUGCCGAGUGUUUUCUCGGCACUCGGCAAAGACUUUACCGAGUGCCCGACACAAAACACUCGGCAACUCAGUGUUUGCCGACUGAAAAAUUGCCGUGUGCCGUUUGCCGAGUGUUACACUCGGCAAACGGUUCGCCGAGGGUUUUUUGCCCUUCGCCGAGUGCCCCUAGCACUCGGCAAUUUCACUAUCUCCCGUAGUGGUGGCUGGACUUAUGGGGGGAUCAUUGAUGGGGGACUAGUUGGAUACUUUUUGGCUGUUUUGGGAGUCCUUGGCAGCGGCUUCUCAGGGCGUACGUAGCCCAUUGUAGAUUCCAGCCGAGAAGAUUAAGGAAUUGUGACUGCAACCAUGUUACUUUUCUAGGACUCUGUUUCUGAUAUUGUUCCCGCUGCAUCUUUUCAUCCCCAUGGUGAAUGUUGCUGUUGAUCUGUAGAUUGGAUUUGUUCCUCGGUAGCUUUAUUAGAUUUGUGCUGAAUGAUAAUCUCUGCCUGUGAUAUUUUUCUUCAUUGCGGAUGUGUGCCGAGUAUUAUCCCCUUUGUUCAUUCUGUUGGCUUUUUUUAUUGUCUCUGUACUCGGCUGUUCAGCUUGUGCAGCUAAUGAUCUAAUGUAUUUUGUCGUAACUAUGUAUUUUUCGGAUGUGUGCCGAGUAUUAUCCCCUUUGUUUAUUCUGUUGGCUUGCUUUCAUUGAUCUUAAGAUAACUGGUGCUAUAAAUUCACACUAGCUGAUGCACUUGCAAAUAGCUAUGUAAAUAUGAAAAGAAGUAUUUUUUUAUCCUUUUGUUUGUUUGGCAUCAUAUCUGUUUAAAUGGCAUAGCAAUAAGAAUUUUUUGUUUUUGGGGAAUCAUAUCUGCUUAAAUGGUAUAGAAAAUGCUGAGUGCACUGUCAAAUAGAUUUUCCAGCAGUCUGCUUUCAGUUGUUUUUGCAAAUCCUCACAGGCCAGUGAACUGACUUUGUUUUUACCACCCCAUGCCAUUUAAAUGACUAAAUCAGUCAGCCUAAUACUAUAUAUGGUCAUGCUAUGAUCUUAUUUCUUGAAGCUCUAUAGGUCAACCCAUAAGGGUAACUUAGUUUUUCCUAUUCUGGCUGGGGAAGUGGAUACGAUGGCUAUCCUUGGUAGAGUUAAAUACAUUGGCGGCUCUUAGCGCGCCAAUGUGGCACCACAAUAUCGAACAUAUGUAGAAACCCCCUUGUUUUUUCUCAUAUCCCUCUCUCUCAGCGUCCUCUUCUCUUCUUCUCCUCUGUCUCCUCCCCUCCCAUCGCGUGCUUUAUUGCGCCGCCGCCAUCCGCCUCCAUGUAUGAACACGUCGUUUGUCAUGAAGAAGCAGUUGAUGAGGCAAUCAAGCAUGUGGUGCACAAGGUUCUUCUGCUGGCCAAGUCCGAGUCGAACAGCCGCGCAUUCAUUGGGGAAGCACGCGCCAGGCAUCACCAGGCUCCUCGUGCCCCUACUCUGCUCCAAGGACUCGGUGCUUCGACGCGCUGCUUUCCCUGUCCGGCGAGCGGGGAUCGUUGGGAGAUGAUCGAUGGAGGAUGGAGCUGAUCCUCCUGUACACGGUGCCGGUGGGGAGCAGGGAGCUGCGGAGCAGGUCCACGGGCGGCGCCAUUACAGCAGGUGCAGGCUAAGGGUAAUGAGCAGAUCGAGGCGAUGGAGGAGGACCCGCACGAGGUGCAGCUUCUUCGCCUCCUGCGCAAAGUCAGCGCCCAAGCAGCCGCUGAGGGACAGGCCGAGGCUUAGCUCGAUCUCAUCCGACUAAAUGGUGGCUGCACUCCCACAGUCCCACUGGUGCUCCUCCCUUCUGUCCGAACCUGCCGAGGAAAUCCCUCGAUGCCAUGGGUCCCGGCUGGACGACUACUCCUCCCACAGAUUGACUGAGGAAGAAGAGCUUCUCAGUGUCCAAAAAUUCAGUUACACUGGAAACAGCAACCAAUUACGUUCUUCCGGCUCAGCCAAGCCCCAAUCUCCUUGCUUCUGUGCGCCCCUGCUAAAUAUUCCAGAAACCAAUCUGGUUAGUUGUUUUUUCACAUUUUCAGUGCAUGCCGGUGCUGCUGUGUGCGGCAUGCAUGGAGUUGUCGUGGGAGUGCACGGUGGCUUAGCUGGUGCGCCAGUGCGCGGGCACGAACACAACGGUGAAGAUGGCAGGGCCAUCUCAAAGCUCCUGAGCACCUGCACGCGUCGCUGAGCAGGACAUGCUGCGACGGUGGGCGAGCGCUGCUAACGCCCUGGGGAAGAGCAGUGGGUGCAGAGAGAGGGAGCGAGGGAGAGGGGUUCUUGUAUAUGUUUGCUAGCGUGGCACCGUUUACGGUGCCCGCCUAAGUGGCAUUCACGUGUCAUUCAUCCCAAAUGGUGUUGCAAGGUUGAACCUAUUGUGGGAGGCUUUUGGUUUCCCUUGACAGUAUCACCAGUGAUAUCACUGCGUUCUGGUUAUGUAUGAAACACUUGUCCUUUUAAAACCUUUCUGAAUUUAGAAACGAAUUUGAAACAUUACCCUCAUUUCCAUGUUUUUCUAUCUUUUGUCCCUGUAAAAUCAAACUAAAUUUGAAUUAUUAUGUUCAGAACUACAAGCUGAUUUACUUGUCCCAUUUGCUAAUAACAGGGCCUUGUGAUUUCUAAUGAACAUUGCAGAGCAUGUUAUAAAGCGUAUGCAUGAACACCAAGGGGAUGAAACCAUUGGUAUAUUUCUCACAACCUUUUGAACUUAUCAUUUAGCAUAUUUGUGUUCUAGUGUGACGUUUCAGCCACGAGACAUGAGAAAUGUUAGCUAUGGAUUUUGGUUAUUCAUCAUGGGUUCACAGAUUUGUUUUUCUCUAAAAGAAUUGGGAAGUAGCUUUCUUUCUGGGUAUAUGUGGGGAAAUGCAUAUGCAAUCUUUUAUUUAUUGAGGUGACUGUAAAAUUCUUGUCUGACUGAAUAUGCGAUUUCAACCUACAUGCUAUACUUAGGGAAAUUUGUGAAUCUCCUAAUGUCUGCUGCAUGGCAUGAAUGCAUAUUUUACUGGUCCAUAAUGUGAAGUUCUGUAUAUAAACUUCUCGUGUUGACCCUUUAGAACAUGCUAACUGGAGAGUUUUCUAGAGUAGUUAAACAAGAGAUUUAGUUAAAUCUGCACACAUAGGUGGGGCCUGGCAUACCCUAAGAAUCGGCCUAGCCGGUCAGCCCAUUAGUAAAAAAAAAAGCACCGCAGUCAGCAGUCCCCACGUUGGUCUUCCUCGAGUCGCGACUCGCGAAGCUCCCAUCCUCCGAGUCCAAGAUGGUGGACUGUGUCGAGCGCGGGGCGGGCGAUUAGUUGCCCGGCCGCCGGCGGGGGAUGGCCGGACGGCCAGAUCGCCGACUCCUCUAGUCCUCCCUCCAGCCUCUGCGCUUCUUUCACAGUGGAGCUAGCGGCGAGGCGCCCGACCGACACCCUUCUUCCCAAAUCCCGGCAGCCCUACCUCGAUUUGGCCUCCUCCGAUCAUUUGAUAAUCAAUUUGAUGAAAUUAAUAUGGAGUUGCUUUCUUGUAUGGUUGCCUUCAAUCCUGCUAAUUCAUUUGCUUCAUUUGAUGCACAAAAGAUACAUAGACUUGCUAUAUUUUUAUCCACAAGACAUCACAAGCACGGAUUUGCUAAAACUUGAAUUCCAGCUCGAUAUUAUAUUGAUGAUGUGAGAUAGGAUGAUAGUUUCAAAGGCCUACAAGAUCUUGUUAACUGAGACUCAGUUAAGCUUGUUGAAACAAACAGGCAUAAUAUUUAUGACUUGGUUUACUUGCUUCUCAAAUUGGUAUUGGUUCUUCUUGUGGCGACAGCUAGUGUUGAAAGGGAUUUUUGUGCAAUGACUUUGAUCAAGAGUAAGCUAAGAAAUAAGAUGGGUGAUAGUCUUUUGGAUGAUUGUCUUAUCACAUUCAUUGAGAAAGAUAUUUUCUUUGAAGUGGAUGAAGAAGAUAUAAUUAAGACUUCAUAUCCAUUAGAAAUCGUAGGCUGGAGAAGAAGUAAUAUUUUAAUUUUCUUUGAACGUUAGGUCUGUAAGCUUCUUUUAAACUAUCUACAUUAUAAUUUAUGGACCUUUUAAUUUAACCGUUGAAUUCAUGAUAUUAUGAGAUUUUUUUAUCUAUGUUAUUAUUGUUUACCGAUUUAUUACCAAAUUAUUAGUUUGAUCUUACAAUAUUGUAUUUUGGAUGAUUGGCUCGGCAUACUCUAAGUUUAAAUCCUAGCUCCGCCACUGUUUGCACAUUAAUGUGGCUUAUAUGUGUGGAGUCACUUAACCUAUGCACUUGGACCUCCACUCCCUUAGGUUUUAUGAACCUAAUUUGACAGCCUGCUCGUCUUUUAUUUUCUACCAAUCAGCUAGGAACGAACAUGGUGAUGUUUGCAUCUCUGCCAUCAAUGGCUUACAUGUCAUUAUGUAUCACAUUAGCAAGUCUUGUUUUGUUAUUGGCUGGGAUGACGGGGACUCUAGCUGGAAUUGAAUCAAAGUGGUAGAUCACAGGGUAUUCAUUGCCAUGUAUUUCUGCAGUUGCAUGGACUUGCAUCAAACGGACCUUCCUACUUAUGUGAUUGUCCUAUAUGAUCUCCUUUGAUUUCAUUUGCACACUGUAAUCACAUUAGCUAGAACACUCGCUUUUUGCUUCAAAUUUGAAAUUCAUAUCAUGAUGGACUAGAACGCUGAAUUUCUUGAUUGCUGAGUUACUAAUCACAUUGUGGCGCUGCCAAAGAAGCUGGACUCUUCAUUGUUGUUGCCUUGUGGGCUGCCGUGUGCAAAGAACAAGAGCGCACGGUAUUAUAAUAGCAGAGCAGAACACAGACAAGCGACAAGGAGCGGAGCAGAGCAGAGCACAGCCAGGCACAAGCAGUAGAGUAGAGCAGAGCAACCGGGAGAGGAGAGGGCACAUAUGCAGAGUAGAGCAGAGCCAAGCGCAAGCAUUCAUGCACUCAAGCAUGCAGCAGAGGUGUAGCAAGGCAAGCACAAGCAGCAGAGCAGAGGGAAGGGAAGGCUGGGAGAUGAAUAGGCGAAUAGUUACCUGGACAGAGCAGAGGGAAUGGAGAUGAUGCAGAUGCUUCCGGAGACUCGAGAUUUGGAGAGGAACAAGGCCACGUUGUGAACAAGGUCUCCUUUCUCUUCUCUAUUUCCCGCGCAAGUACUUGUGCAUAGUGGCUGCCUCAUCCUCCAGGACGUCCACUUCAACCUGAGGCGGGUGCCACAGACAUCCUGGCUAUGCGACGGCUACCCCCAGCACACCCCCGGCGCCUAUGAACCAUGAUCCUAAUACUAUAAAUUGUCAACCUUGUAAUCUUAUUUCAAGCAUGCUCUCUAUGUCAACCUGUAAGGUUAACUUCGUUUUUCCUUUUCUGGGUAGGGGAGUGGAUAUUGCUGUUAUUUAUAUUAUGUUGAUAUUGGUUUCCACAUGUCAUUCACCCCAAAUGUGUUGCAAGGUUGAACCUAUCAUCGGAGGAAUUUUUUUCCCUUUACCUUUAUAUCACUACGCUCUGGUUAUGUAUGAAACACUUGUCUUCUUAAAAACCUUAAUUUAGAAACAAAUUUGAAACACUAUCUUCAUUUACAUCCUGUAUGUGUUUUCUACCUUUUGUCCUAUAUGAUCUGCUUUGAUUUGAUUUGUGCAUAGUUUUUUCAAUUCAGACCUGGUGAUUUCUGAGGUUCAUGUUGUGCUGAUAAGCAGCCUACUAUUCAGUAACACUUUCAUGUGGCAUGUUCAUGUUAGCUAGCUAGAAACACUGCUUUUAGCUUCAAAAUUCAAAUUCAUGACAUGAUGGACAUUGACAAUGAAUUUCUUGAUUGCCGAGCUAUGUACACUGUAAUUCAGACCUGGUGCUUUUAGUUUUUUUCUUGAUUGCCGAGCUAGAAACACUGUGCUUUUAGUUUUUUCAAUUCAGACCUGGUGAUUUCGGUUUUUUCAAUUCAGACCUGGUGAUUUCUGAGGUUCACGUGUCACACCGAUUUUAAGAACAAAAUCGAGUGCAUUAAAUAUACAUGUACGCUAGGAUCAGGUUACACACAUGUACGACAUAAGCGAAUAUCAAAGACAAUGCCAUAACGAAAUAAAGAGAGUAUUAAUCAUUAUUACAUGACCGAAAGUCUCAAAUAAACCACAAAAUCUAUUUAUUACAUAGCGGAACUUCUAAGAUAGCAACGUCUCCACAGGCAGCUGACUGAAGAACUGUAUGCCUAGAACUCUUCAAAAUCGUGCAGGUACUCCUCCAGAUUAGCUUGGUAUGAACAACGGUUUUGCAAGGGUGAGUACACUUAUGGUUGGUACUUAAUAAGUCGUGGGAAACAAUGUAGUGUAAGGCAAAUCAAGGUAUGGCUAAGGCUUAAACAGCAUCAGCUUUUAAUUUAGUUGGUCAAAUUUUAUUAGCAAUUAAUUAGACGUAAAUUUAUACCACCCGAAAUUAAACAAGAACAUGAAUAAAAUAAUAACAUAACCAUAAAUGAAAUGACAACAAUUUAAAUCCAUCUUUUCAUAGCAUUAUCAUGUGAGGGUCCAGUCCGUUCUUAACCGUGAGCACCGCUGAUCGAUCAGUUUUACACUCUGCAGAGGUUGUACAUCUUUACCCACAAGUCGCGUAAAAGUUCAAAAGAAUUUUGGACCCAACCAUGCGGUAUUUGCAAGGCACCAUACCACACUUCCAAGGUGUGAUUGCAUAUGAACGCUACGAGGCCUUUACAAAGAUUCAUUAGUAAGUGGUAACCCGCUAAGGUUUCGGUAUUUGGCGUGCACAACCUAUCACAGGCCGCUAAUGCAACGACUCAGUCCCCCCUCUUGCCUCAUCACGAGUAAGAUUACCCCAGACUAAGGUUUCUAAUUAUUCAGCCAAGAUCAGAACCAUUUAGUCUUGUGGUAGCACUGUUUUCCUGGGUGGUUCUCCAUGUUCCGAUUAAACAUAAUGGUCUUGUAUUAAUGGAAGGUAUAACAUAAAUAAUACCAAAUUAAUAAUAAUUCAGAUUAAAUCACCAUAACCAUAUUUGAGCACUAAGCAUGAGCUACCCAACAUAAAUUUAACCCGGUUGGUCAAGGCAAGGUAGAUAAAGUCUAGGAAAUUCUUAAUUGGGACCCAUCAAGUUUAAAUUAUACUUUGCAUGGUAUGUUGCAUAGAACAUGAAAGUAAAUGUGAAUAGGACUGAAAAGGAGUGAUUAGGGACACGACUUGCCUUUUUAACCUUGUUCUUGCUGUUCGUACUCUUCGAAAACUUUGAUCUUCAAAUCCCUUGAACUGCUGACCGUCUACACGCGUCACACGACCACAUACAAGCAAACAAAUAUAAUACAUAAGAAAACAGUACACCAAUCAUAAUUAAAUAGAAGAAACAAAUUUGAAAAGCUAUUCUACGCAUUAAAACGAAAACACGGAUACAAGGAACGUUAAAAACGGAGCUACAGUGCAAAAACUACGCUUAAAACAAGAUGCAGGGGUAUAACUACGAGAAACCAAACUUCCAGGGAUUUAAUUUUAAAUAAUUUUGAACUGCAGAAGGGGCAGCAGGGCAAAACGUAGAAAAUGCAGGGGCUUAAGCGCAAAAGCAUGGCUGCUGACUCAGCUGACUUGAUGUGGAUCGUCGGAUGGCGAUCCGGCGGCCGGCAGCUGCUGCGCUGACGUCAGCGACGGCGAGCGCCGGCGAAAAACGGCAGUUCGCCGGAAUCGCCCGGGAACGCGCGACUGGGUGCAGAUUUGAGCGAGGAUUAGACUAGCAGAUAGAAACGAGCGCAGUGAACUCAUUUGGGAUGCCUACGGCGAGGACUUGGCGACGGCAUCGGCUCCGGCGAGAACUUGCGGCAGGGAAACCAAAUAAAAUAAAAUAACACGGUUCAGAGAAGCGGCGCUGGAGGAACGCGAGCGAUUUUGCGUGCGAGCGGAAGAAAACACUGCGAGGAAGAUGACUGCGGGCCCUGCUUGUCUGCGGCAGGAGGAGAGCUGCGUGCGAGAAGAACCUGGCCACGAUCUGGGCCGUUGCCUUCGAUCUGGGCCGAGGCAAGCUAGCUGGCCCGCUGCUGCGGAAAGGUGCUGGGCCACGGGCGGAGCACAGCGUCGGGCCAGAAAGGAGAUGGCUGCUGCGAGGAAACAAAAGAAAAUGAACUGGGCUGCGACAGAGGAAAACUGGGCGUCGGCCAGAAAGAAGCUGCGUGCAGCUUGCUCUUGUUUCCGAACUAGAAACAGGAACUGACGGAAAGACAGAAAUCAAUUGGAGACUGAAACUGACGCCCCAGACUCUGAACUUCGAAAAAACAGGACAACCAGCCAACUGACAGAAAAAAAAAAGCUUAACAACCCAAAAGCAGUACACAACCACGAAACCAGGCCACAAGACUGAAAAAGCUUGAUAGGAACAUCUGGCGACUGAACCAAAAAACUACAGAACUGCAACUGAAGAACUAGAGAACAGAUAAAUAACUGAUUGAACUCUGAAACUGAAACACCAAAGAGCAGGAAGCUGACUGACGGAAAAUGCAAAACAGCAACCCAAGGUGAAACACAAAUUCUUCUUCAAGCAUUCAAACAAAGAGAUAUGCAACAGCAUGAAUGCUCAAUAAAAUCCUAUAUUUCAUUAAUUAAUUAGAAAAAAUGCUCAAAUGCCUAGAAAAAUGCAAAAGUGACCUUAUAUGCCUUAAACAAGCAAAUUCGUUUCUAGCGAUUUUUGGUAAAAUGCAAAAUUAGAGAUUUUGGGUGUUACAUCAUGUUGUGCUGAUAAGCAGCCUACUAUUCAGUAACACUUUCAUGUGGCAUGUUCAUGUUAGCUAGCUAGAAACACUGUGCUUUUAGCUUCAAAAUUAAAUUCAUGACAUGAUGGACAUUGACAAUGAAUUUCUUGAUUGCCGAGCUAUGUACACUGUAAUCACAUUGUGGGGCUGAUAAAAUAAGCAGCGUUGAGACACAUAACAAUUGAAUCUUAAGCUUCACACAGAAUCUGGACCAGUCAUCCUCAUUCCUGUCAUGCUGGAAAUGUCUUUGAUACAUUUCAAUCACAGGCAAUUGAAUUCGUACUGGGGAGGAUGGCAAUGGUGCAUGAAGAGAGAUCAAUGUGGCAAAUCUCACAUUGUUCAUUACCAGGUAUCUCCGAUUUCUGGUUAUUUUAAAUUUACCUUGACAUGUGACUUAUUGAGGUAUUGUAUUUCAUCUAAUGGUAGUUCUGAAUUUAUGGUAACCUUGGAUGGGGUUUGUCACUUUAUACACGCACGGACUUACAAAGGACAGCAAAUGAGUAUAUUUAGAGGGCUCCUGUCCAACCAUGGACUAUACUUAUGUACCCUUUUUUGACAUGGUAAUUUGAGGUUAAUGGAAAAGUAGCGAUAGUCGCCUCCAGCGAAGCUACCUUCUUCGAAAGCUCCGAGGCUGCUUUCUCGCUCUUAGCAAGCCGAUCCCUCGUAAUCAUCGAAGAGUAAGAGACCUACAGAUUUUAAAAACCAAGUUACCAAAAAUAACGAAGUAAAAGACAACACUCGCAAGACAAACCACCAAACUAUCUCAUAAUUGUACCUUCUUUACGAGGUUCGCCUCCAAGUUAAAGAGCUCUUCCAAGAUCAUUGACUUCACAGCUUGCUGAAAAUCUAUGCGCCAAAGGAUAUAGUCGUAAGCAUAAAAUAAAAAUUGGUAAAAACCAAGGACAGCAAAGCCAUCUACAAGCUGUUCUUACCCUCAUACUUUCGCACCUCAACGGCGAUCGGAACAACCUUCUCUCUAGCCUCGCCCUUAGACGCCACCACAAUCUUCCCGCCACACAAAUCCACAACCCCUCCUUUACCUUUGCCCUCUCCCGAAGUCGUCGUGCCCGCCUUCUCCACCCUUUUUGAACCGCCAACAUCUGCAUAGCGCUCGCAACCUUCACCUUCAGCCCCCCAGACCAAAGACAGGUUGUGAGGAUUAUAAACCCUACCUUCGGCGCAUGUAGCUAGAAUCUCCGUGCGCCCGCUCAAGCCCAGACACUCAUUCAGUCCCUGAAGCCCCGCCGGCAACCUCUCACCUACAUCAUAACAUUCAACUUUUAGCCUCACAUGAUCCUCACAACUAACCUUACCAACGCCCCCCAUAGUUUCUUCCAAGUCCUUCAAAAAUUUCGUUGAGGCCUCACCACAAUCAAAGAACCGUAGCAUCGAUAGAAACACCUCUACAUGCUUACCAGAUCUCACAGCUUCGGCACACCCACCCUUUGGAUCAGAUGAGAACGCAUCCACAAGCUUCGCCUUUUCGGUGGCAAACCCCCUCUCAAGUUUCCCAACAUCAGUCAAGAGAUGUUGCGCGCUCUUAAACUUCGAGCUUAUGGAAGGCACCGUGAUCUUGGUACCAGCUGCCGAAGACGCGUCAACCUUGGCACCCGUAACAGUAACAGGAGCAAAUCGAGGUUUCUUGGCGCCUCUUUUGAUCCGUGCGGCGGGCCCGGUGGAUGAAGGUGCAAGAGCUGGAACCUCCUUAGGAGGGCGCAUAGAGACAGGAACAACAUAUGCCGGAUUGCUCAAGUCGCCAGACGAAGCUGUCGACCACGAUGGCAACAUAGCAGACGAAGCCCCCGCGGUCAUUUCCUUCCUUUUUUGCGCCUCCAAAUUCAAGGUCUUUUGCUUCGCCUUAGCGGUCACUUGCAAUUCAAUAGUGAGCUUCACCAUGGGUACGAAGUCAAAUUUUGCCUUUUUCCUCUGCUCAAGACUAGCACCGCGACGGCGCCUCUUGCCCGUAACUUUGGGGUGAGGCAGAACCACAAUAUCAUACAAGUCAAAAAUCUAAGAUGAUGACAUUCCAUUUGUAUCCAUGAUUUAUAUUGUGUUCCUUGAAUAUCCAUUAAAGUCUACUUGAAUUGAUUUGCAAUUAUGUGAAUUGUAUGUGAAACUCUUUCCUUGUAUGGUUAUUCUAAAGUUGUCCCUAGUCGGAGUUCAUGUGAGGACACAUGAAUAUUAGACUAGCACAUGUAUUAGUUGAUGACUAUGUUUCACAAGUCAUGGACAUGAAGAUGUGGAACUAAUAAUGUGGGCACAUGUGGAGACACGUGCUAGGACUGACCCAACACGAGAAGUAGUUCUCUCUUUAUACAACAUAUACGCUUUGUCCUUAGACCUGAGAUUGUCGCAUGUACUCAAGAUGUGGAUCGACUUACUUAGGGGCUAUCAAAUUCUACGCCGUAACAGGGUAGUUAUAAAGGUAGCUUUCGGGUUUGUCAAGAAGCAUGCUAUGAGACAUGGUCAAUCAAGAUGGGAUUUGCCCCUCUCUGAUUGAGAGUGAUAUCUCUGGGCCCCUCGAGUGAUCGGAUCCGAAAAUGCAUGGCCAUGCUACAUACGAUUAAGAGUUAGCCUACAAAAGGAUUCCGAAUCAUAGGAUCGAGAAAGAGCGGUCGGCUUGAAGCUAGACCAAAUAUCGUGAGGCAAAGGGAAUAGCAUGUAUAUAAUGUUGUGAUGGUUCGUCUGAUAUGAUCUUCGUGUGCGUAUAGGAGUUGGCACGUCUUGCUAGAGGUCGCUACCGACUAUUGGGCCGAGUAGGAGUACUCAGGCCAUGUCUAUACGUAUCCGAACCCAUAGGGUCACACACUUAAGGGGCUGGAAGCCCAAUUCGGAUGUGAUCCGAAUUGGAUUAGGUUUAGAAGUACUAAUGGGCCUUGGACCUAGAGGCCCGUUAGGAACCUCUAUAAAUAGAGGGGUGGGGGCGCCCUAGGGUUUACACCUUUUUGGUGAAACACAUCUGCCGCGCCUCCCACGCCUUCGCCUGUUGCAACUCGCGGACCUAGCAGUCCGGCUUGCGACGCUUCCUCCCUGCACGUGUGGAUACCUUGGAAGUGUUGCUCCUGCAGCACUUGGACGAGCCGCCAACGAGCCACGACGAGCCACGAUGAGCCGACGAUGAGCCGCGGCACGAGGGGGAUCUUGCUGCACGUGGACGAGCUGCUGAGGAGCUGCUGGACGUCGAUGUGUUCGACUACGUACGACUACGCUGAUCGACUUCGCUGCAUCAACGCGAAUCUACAUCUUCCGCAUCAUUGCAUCGAGUGGUAAUCCCGUGAUCCUGAUACGGCAGUUUUCCUAGUUUACGCGGUAGAAAAUUUUGUUUUGUGCUAGUGUAGCCUAACUCAUAUCCCAACAACGUGUGCUAUAGGUCACGCAAGCCUGAAAAUGGCCACACCGGACACCGGGUACGAAAACAUGGGGGAUGGACCGAACAUUUGAAAAUGGCCUCCAUAUGUGUUUUCGGCUAUGAAAAUGUGUGUUAUAGGUCACAGAAGCUUGAAAACGGCCGCACCAGCCACUAGGGACGAAAACGUGGGGGAUGGACCAAAGACAUAAAAAAUAGCCUCCAGACGCGUGUUCGGCCAUGAAAACGUGUGGUAUAGGUCCUGGAAGGCCAAAAACAGCUACACCGGCCACCUGGGACGAAAAAGUUUGUGUAAGACCGAACACUUGAAAAUAGCCUCUGGACGCGUGUUCGGCUAUGAAAAGGUGUGUUAUAGGUCACACGAGCCCCAAAACAACCACAGCGAACACCAGCUACAAAAACAUGGGGGAUGGAUCGAAUAAUUGAAAAUGGCCUCCAGACGUUUGUUCGGCCAUGAAAUCGUGCGUUAUAGGUCGCGGGAGCCCGAAAACGGCCACACCGGCCACCGGGAAUGAAAAUGUGGGGGAUGGACCGAACAAUUAAAAAUGGCCUCCGGAUGUGUGUUCGGCCAUGAAAACGUAUGUUAUAGGUCACGGGAGCAUGAAAACGGCCGCACUGGCCACUGGGGACGAAACGUGGGGGAUGGACCGAAGACGUGAAAAUAGCCUCCAGACGCAUGUUCGGCCAUGAAAAUGUGUGCUAUAGGUCAUGCAAGGCCAAAAACAGCUGCACCAGCAACCGGGGACGAAACCAUGGCUGUCAAACCGAACGCUUGAAAAUCGCCUUCGGACGCGUGUUCGGAUAUGAAAACAUGUGUUGUAGGUCACGCGUGCCCGAAAACGUCCACAACGGACACCGGGUACAAAAACGUGGGGGAUGGAUCGAAUAACUGAAAAUGACCUCCGAACGCGUGUUCGGCCAUGAAAACGUGUGUUAUAGGUUGCGGGAGCCCAAAAAUGGCCACACCGGCCACCGAGGAUCAAAACGUGGGGGAUUGACCGAACAAUUAAAAAUGGCCUCCGAUUGUAUGUUCGGCCAUGAAAACGUGUGUUAUAGGUCAUGGGGGCCCAAAAAUGGCCGCACCAGCCACCAAGGACGAAAAUAUGGGAGAUGGACCAAAGACAUGAAAAUGGCCUCCAGAUGCAUGUUUGGACAAAAGUGUGUGCUAUAUGUCGUGCAAGGCCAAAAACAGCUACACCAGCCACCGGGACAAAAACGUGGGUGUUUGACUAAACAAGUGAAAAUGGCCUCCGGAAGCAUGUACGGCUAUGAAAAUGUGUGCUAUAGGUAAUGGAAGGCUAACAAAAGCUACACCGGCCACCGGGGACAAAAUCAUGGGUGUCAGACUGAACACUUCAAAAUGGCCUCCGGACGCGUGUCCGGCUAUCAAAACGUGUGUUAUAGGUCAUGCGAGCCCGAAAACAACCACACUGAACACCGGGUACAGAAACAUGGGGGAUGGACUGAAUAACUGAAAAUGGCCUCUAGACGCGUGUUCGGUCAUGAAAACAUGUGUUGUAGGAUGCGGGAGCCCGAAAACGGCCACACCGGCCACCAGGGCAUGGACCAAACAAUUGAAAAUGGCCUCCGGAUGUGUGUUCGGCCAUGAAAACGUGUGUUAUAGGUCACGGGAGCCCAAAAAUAGCCGCACCGACCACUGGGGAUGAAAUCGUGGGGGAUGGACCGAAGAUGUGAAAAUGGCCUCCAGAUGCGUGUUCGGCCAUGAAAACGUGCGCUAUAAGUCAUGUAAGGCUAAAAAUUGCUACACCGGGACUAAAGCAUCCCCCAUGAGUUACAAUAAAAGGAUUGUAUCCUCUACUCAGUCGGAUGUACUGUGUAGGUGAGAUGGUAAGGAAGCUAUGCGCGAGGUUUGAGGUUGUGGGUUGAAAUCCUACGCACCGCGCGCACACGCGCAUAUUUUGUGUGAAAAAUCAUGUGACUUGUGAUCGGCCAAGGAGAAGUGGGUGCAGCUGUGGCUUAAGUGGCUGAGGCACGCUGCCAUAGACAUCUCCGAUUUGCUCGAAGACUACCAAGACACUAGCAAUAACAAGAACUACUGCUCUUCCUAGCAGACUCUUUACAACCACUUUAAAGCUGUGCAUUUCUCAAUGUAAUUUCGUAGAAGGCAAUCGAUCCAACCAAGCGACUAAAUCAUUUGUUCUUGCCAAUGAUGUACAUCAGGUUUUCUAUAUGAAGGACAUGUCUAGCAAACCUAAGAUUUUAGAAGAAAAAGAAAAAUUAUGGGAGUCAAUAAUAAAUCAGGCCAAUCAGGAGAUUAUAGUAAGCUCGAUGGUAUGCCUCCAUUCGAUGUCGAAGUUGGCCCAAGCAUCAUGUUAGCCAAAGAUCAAAUGUUCGUGCAUUGCUACGGUAAAGAUCAAUUGUGUCUUUUAAACCCAUGGAAUUUUUUAUCUAUGUUUUUAUUACACUUAAUGGAUGUCUACACAUUUGCUAGAAAAUCAAAAUAAUUUUGACUUAAUUAUUUCUUUCAACUCAAAUACUCAUUAAAUUUCUACCUUUUUAUUUAAGCAAGAGAGUUGCUCAAAAAAUGGAUACGUAACCAUGUUGUAUCAUACAAAGCAACCACAUUUCACAUAUAGUCUGGCUUAGCAAACACCAUUGUUGUCUUAACAUAGUGUUCAUGAGUUAGUAGACAUGGAUCUAUUUCUAAUUGCAAGUAGUGCAGCGUACAACCAGCCUGCACCGCCGCAGCUCAAUAUGCGAUAAUUUUUUAUCUUCCCAUGUAAUUUUUCUACUCUAGUACAUAUUGAACUCCACAUAAAUGUCAUGUUCUUUCACGCCACAGACGGUUUCUAAAGUUUGGAACUAAAUAGAUAGCCAAAAAUUUUAAAAAAAUAUUUAUAUGGAUACAUGUAUGUUCUUUGCAAACUAACAAUAUUGUUUACAAUAUCAAAAGGAAUAUGGCUAUGAUCAUUGCCGCAUAUGGCAGGUGAUGGUAGAUGCCGUAUGGGGUUUCUUUAACUUAAUUGUAUAAUAAGCUGAAAUACAUUUUCUAUUUGCAAAUGAAUCAUAGCUGAAAGUGGUGGGAUUGUAGAACCGCCGGCCAUCGUGUCCUUGUAGGACCGCUGCACGAGCCUGUGAGCCACCAGCCACCAUGCGCCCAAGGGCCAUCACCACGCCAUAAGAGGAUGCUGUCUACCCGGUUUCGCGCGCCUGUGCUAGCUGCCUGAACCUGGGCCGCCGCCGGUCGCCUGCCCAGCCGCGCGUUGCGCCAGGGUUUUGCUGGUGACGACCAUGGCCUUCGCGAUCAAAUUAAAAAGUUAUCAACUGCAAAGUAUUAGGUCUCGUUGAGCUCUACAAUUUUGAUAUAAAGUUUCUAUUCAUCCGAGAUCAAAUAAAAAAUUUGAUACUCAAAGCAUAAAUCCAUUAAUCUAGUCUUGCUAAUCCUUACCACCAAAUAAAAAACUAGCAUGUGUUGUGUGUUUGUGACCCUAAACGAUCACAAAUGAAUAACUUAUGGGCCUUGCUAGCGCCCGGAUGUCCAGGCCGGGGCACUAGCAUCAGACCCACGAGUAGCCGUCCGAUCAGGUUCGACACCACUUCAGGAUCUGGCUUAAAAAGAAGUCCCACCGAAACAUUGUUCCAUGUUGCAUGAAGCAACCCACUACCGUCGCCAGGUCUAGAGCAAGCACCACCUUCAAAUGUGCUGCUCACCCUAGCUAAAUAGGGGCAUUAAAAUAUUUCUCGCAUAUCCUUCUCAAAUUAAACAAAAUCGCAACAUCUGAAAAUUUUUACAGAAAACCAUGAAACAUAUCGAUUAGAUAGAUGUAACAAGAUGGAAUAUGGUAUAUGCAACAUAUAGGUUCCGAAAAGCAGAUGAAAUAUUAUGUAAUGAUUCUUGAAACAGUCAAGAAAAAUAGAUGUAACAUCUAAAAUUAAGAAAAGAAGCUUUAUGCAAAUUGCAAAAAGCUGAAACAAGUGGUUGAAACAUUUCAAAUCACCAAAUGCCACAUUUGAAAUGACCAGAUGAAACAUCACGAAAUCAAUUGCAACAGUUGAAGAUGAAAACAUUCAAAUGCCUUGCCUUUCUCCAAAUUUGACCCUCCAAGCAUGAGUCCAGCCAUUUGCACAUUAGACCCUUGGGAGGAGCUCACCGGAGAACAACAAGACCGUGUUAUCCAACAAUUUUCAGAUCAAAUUGCAACAUAAAGAACAAAGCAUUGCAACAUCUGGCAUCACGAGCUACAACAGCAACCAGUUAGGAUCAGGAGAAAGAGGGCAAACACAAGCCUAACAAUGAGUUAUAUCCGGUUUAAACAAGGAUAAAAAUGAGUGUAUUUUACACUCAUCAUGUUGUCUUUUCGCAGCUGUACCGCCUUUAGCGUGUUGUAUUGUUCCUAACACCAAGUCUCCGAGGCCCGAAAAAAUAAGGAAAGUGGUAGCAGCUCAGAAAUCGACUAAGUUUCUUUCCCCCUUUGGCUUUCCUACUAGGAUUCGGAAUCCUCUUUCGUAUGACAAUCUUAAUGAUCUCCCAUAGUCCAAAACUCACAAAAACAUCAAAAAUCCACCGAGAAUAAAUUAAGUAAAAAAACAUGCACACACAGAUAAUAAUAGUAAUCAUGUUUCAUUAUGAUUGCUAAGGUCAGACACAAUACAUAAACAUAUUAGACUGAGUGACCCACCUCACCUCAGAGUAUGCACCAUGUCUGAGUGACCCACCUCACCUUGCCAGGACACUGGUCCUGCCCUCGUGGUUCACGCGCCCUCGUGGUUCAGCAGUGGUCAGUACACAAAUCUAGCUGCCAGUCGGAUCCAAGGGCAGGCAUUUGCAUUGUGGUUGUGUUUGAACAUGGAGAUGUCAUUAUUAUUGUCAGGCACCAUACAUCCUCUCUCAGUUUCACUCCGCCUCACACACGGAUAGCACACCAGGGACCCGACACCAUGCAUGCCGAUUUCAUAUUAUUAAUAUUUAAUUUUUUUAAUGGUUGUUGAAACUAUAUUGUUGAUAUUUUUAUACAUAAUUUACGACCUAAUUUGGAUAUAUUUUUGAAAUAUUCCGAAAUCUUAAAUUCACACGUCUAGAGAUACAGUUAGUCCAAUCUGAUGUUUCCGAUUAUAAAAAUGAACAUAAAGAGAUAGGAAGCGAGAGACGUGAGGGGGAAAGUUAAAUUAGGGCCUAAGGGGUGAAGUUAGGGUUCCAGGUGAGCUGUCAUCACUACGUGUUUUUAAUCGAAAUUGGAAUGUCAGCAAUCGUCAGAUCUUGAGCCAACAGUUGAGACUGCCUCGGAAUGGUAAUUAGGUCUGCGCGAGCUUGCAUUGUGGCCUUCCUUGAAACCUUGGACAUAGGUGUUAUAUUAUUAUGUUCUUGCCAGCACACAGCAGUGAAGGACGACACAGUUGAGAUGUGCAUCACAUUUUCUAUAUGAAGGAUAUGUUUAGCAAACCUAAGAUUUUAGAAUAAAAAGAAAAAUCAUGGGAGCCAAAGCGCCACAUAGUUCUUCCAGGUAAAAAAAAAUCAUCCACUGGACCAGCACAUAGUAACGAUCCAAAAAGUCCAUAUUAAGAUUUUUUGAUAGCAGAAAAAACAUAAAAUGUCUAAUAUUUGUAGUAUUAAAAGGAAAAAUAAUAUAUUCACGUGACCUUUUUCCCGUAGCAAGGCACCGGUACGUGGUCAGACUUAAUGCACGAUGCCUAAGCAUCCAUUGGGCCUACCCUCGUGUGGAUCACGCGCAACAGGACACGGCUCACAAGCUAUGAUGUGCAGCAGUCGCUCAGAUGGCUGAAAGGUACCCUUAAUUUGAAUGGUACCAUAUAUAUAUAUAUAUAUAUAUAUAUAGUAAACAAGACAAACCACCGUUGAUACUACUUUGCACUACUUGAUACAUAUAUCUCCACCAAAAGCGAGGCACGUGGGGAGGAGAGAUAUGUGGUUGAUGGUGCGGGCACGUGGCGAGUGCACCGUACGAAAAUUUUGCUCGUGUCGGACGACUGAUGUGAAGCAUUACCCAAUCUUAAUUAUCUCCCAUAAUCCAAAACUCACAAAAACAUCAAAAAUCCGCCGAGAAUAAAUUAAGUAAACCAUGCACACACAGAUAAUAAAAUUGCUAAUAAGGCCAGAGACAAUACAUAAACAUAUUAGACUGUUCAUGACACAUAUCACGGUGGAUAGUGUCUGUGUCCUUAUUACAAGCAAUGAGAGAUGCUUGUCACCACACACACGCGCACAGAUGCACAACAUACAUAUAGUUGAGACCAACAGAUGGAUCAACUAGAGGUCACCCCAUAUGGUGAACAAUUUAUUGGAGAUAAACAUUAACAUAACUUGGCCAUAGCUUGAAGCAUAGCAACAUAUGCCUAUGAACGGCGUUCAUGCUAUCAUUUUAGGCUUGUCCGCUUCUUCCAUCUUAGCAAGCACUUCCAUUUCUACCAUCUUAGAAGCAACUGUCAAAUUGAGAUAUGGAAAUCCCAUUAGCGCAUGAGUUAAUUUUGCAGUGAAAAUAGAGUACAAGAUAUCUUCAUGAUGUAAGUAACAUGCCUGAAGUUGUGAGAUGGGAAGUGAAGUCAACAAAUUACAUUAACGGAAAUGCAUGGAAGGCCACACAUACGUAUUAGUCCAUGAUAUGCUACAAAGCUUGUAUGUACAUAUAGCAAAUUAAAUGCAUUAAUUGAAUAGAGUGAGUUUAGUGAAUUUACCAGAAUCGUCCAGAAAACAUGGGAAACAGCAAGUGUUCUUGCAGACUGCGUCGGUGCCACCCACAGCAAUACAACCAAAACAACAUGCUUUUGCCCGAGCGGCUGCGCAGCAGCCGCACUCUGCCGCGGUGGCCGAGUUAGCAUUGAGGCUCAAGAUGACCAGGCACAUGAUCACCAUCAAAGCGGUGGUAGUCCUCUUUCCCUCCAUUGCCUCCUCUUGCUGCUACCUUCCUUGGUUACCUAGCUAAGUUUAUUGGUUUUGUGUUGAGAGGUGAUUCUUGCAUUGAAUGGACGUUGCCGCGGCUGCAAUUUAUAGGCAGCUGCGCUAUGUGAUGAUAUGGACAAGGUGCAAAUGGGUGGUCCUGAUAUGGAUAAGGUGCAUGCGAAUGGCUGUCUACUUGUAUAGUGGCGCUCCAAUGUACAUACGUAUGUAUCUUAUGCAUGUAUACAGUUGAUGGAUGUACAUGUUUGUUGCACAAAUUAUUCUGAACCAACUCUUCAUAACAGGUCUUUGUUACCAAGUAAUUUUACUUUUGCACGUUUCAGCCGAGAGGCAGAAGAGAAUAUUUUACAGAGAGGGCAGAGAAGGAGGUUGGCGGAGGCGCCGUGGUAGGGUUCCCCGUGUCGCCAAGAUUUUUGCAUUUUAGAUGUGUGUAUUGAUCACUUCGUCGUGCUCGCGGGGCCCAACUCCAGGUUGUACCCCAGCAGACCACGUUCUGUUUCUCUGCCUCCAAUGAGCAUGCAUGCCUCCACAAGGACCACAAGACUUAGUAAAAAAGCUAAACUUUGCAACACGAUGUAUACAGAACGUUUUGAAAUGUACUCUCGUUAGGCAUUCACCUCCUUAACAAUCACUGCGACUGUAAAAGAGGUACAUCGACGCUAGCUAAAUAAACCACUAUAAGAUUUAGCAAGAGAUCAUUUUAUACAAUCCUGUAACGAAACAAUUUGACAAUUAUAGUGUCCAUAUAUUUUGACAAAAAAACGUUUAAAUUAUAUAAGGAGGUGGGCCCGAAAACGGUUGGAUUACAUCGAGAACGUUUUGAAACAGUUGGCGGAGCAGGAUUCUGGCGUGGAGCAUCUACAUUGUCGCGCGCGCGGACUGCCGGAGUAGGCACGCUCGACUUGUCCCAUCGCCAGCUAAAUGAUUUAGUACCGGAUGGUCUCUAGUACCGGUUGGAGCUACCGUCCACCAGGAGCUUUUCUAGUUUGGAACUGGUACUAAUGCUAAUAUUAGUAUCAGGUCAAAAACAAUCGGUACUAAGGCUAGGGAUGACACGUCAUUUUUCUAGUAGUGUGUGCAAUUGGUUUUGUAAUUAGUCUAUAUUUAAUACUUCUAAUUAGUAUCUACACAUUUUAUGUGACAGGGACUGAACUUUAGUCCGUGGAACCAAACACCCCAUAAGUAUGUUUGGUGCUGUAAGGAUUUCGGUUUUAUUUAAUUUCCUAGGCAUUUAAAUUUCUUUCUAAAAUAAGUUAAUGAAUCAUAGGAUCUCAUUGUUGUAUUCAAGCUGGUGCAUUGAUUUUGCCUAUAAAACCCGCCGCGGUCUUCGCAGCCCCCAUCAAACCCUAGCGCCCUUGCCACAAGCUCAGCACCGCUGCCGCCCGAGCUCGAGCACUAGCACCCACCCAUCGCCGUUGCCUUCCCGUCGAUGGGAUCACCGCCCGGAGCUUCGCAUCGUGGUAAGGAAGCCGCCCGUGAAGAUCCCAUGUGCUCCUAUGCCCUCUACCGCGUCCCCGAGUUCCCGGAGUUGCUAGUCUCCCACCGAGCCGACUCUCCGAGCUUCACGUCACUGGUGCCGCUCCGAAGACCUAGUUCGGUUCGCCAUGCACCUCGCUUCAUCCUGAGCUAAACCCCAUAAUGAAUGGUGGUCGGAUGCUCGCCGCCACGGCGCGUCGUCUUUUCUGUCGCCCGUGCAUUGCCUAUCCCCUUCCAGCCGAUUGCAGCUGUCCGAUCGCAAACCGGUGGCCCUGAUCGGAUACCAAGGUCAAUACCGGUCGAACCGAGCCGUGCGCUGCUUUUGCAAGAAGGCCCCUGUUUUUCUCUCUUUUUGCACCUGAGGUCCUACGCAGUUCAAAAGUAAUAAGAUCUAGGUCCUUUUUCUUUUGUUUUAGCCCGUGUUCUUUUAUAAAAUCCCGCCCACUAUUCUGUUUGGUCUUUUGACGCGUUAGACCUUCUUUUUAUAUGUUUAAUUAGGUUUUAGGUCUCGAUUUCUUUAAGUUUAGCCCUUGAAAGUUUAGUUCUCUCGCAGUUAAGCCCCUGAACCUUGUUUAGCUCAUAUCUUAAGCGUUUUAAAUCCGUUUUAACAGAUUCUUGCGCCUAUAAGUUCAUGUUGACGCAUAGAUUAGUUGACUUAUACGAACCUUGCUGAUUCAGCUCCUUGAUUGUGCUUCAGAUCUCGCUAGGGAAGAAUAAUGGAUGGGCUUUGGUUGAGCUUGUAGAUCGACUUGCAGUUGCAGUGAAUGAGCAGAGGAUUGGCAGUGAAUAAGAUCAGGCCGCUGCCCUGCUUGGUAGGGAAAAUAUCUGCUUGCUACCAAGGCCUGUGACGCAUGGACCCCAUUGAGAGUGCAUUAUUGACAAGGACUUAAAGCCAAGGGCUCCACACCUGUCAUUGAUCAGCUGUCUGCUGGGCGCUGCAAGGAGGUAGUGCAUGUUUGACAUAAAGAAGCAGGUGGCCCAGGAUUUACGAAAAAUAAGGAUCUAUUUGAUACCCUUGCUUAUAUUUAGGGGCUAAAAGUUGCUUAUUUGAAGUUGCUUAUUUUUAAUCCUAGCUGUUUGAUUGCAUGGGCUAAAGAGCAUUGAAUGAGGUGGAUAUUGUCAUGUUUGCCUCUAAUGAUUGCUUCCCAUCACAUUUCUCCCCCCUCAUUCAACGAGGGAAGGAGGUGUAAAGUGCACCUUUUAGCCCCGAUAAGUAACCCUUGUGUUGUUUACGGGCUGAACAUAAGUAGCUAAAGUUUAGCUCCAAUAAACAAGAGUGUUUGGUAUUUUUGGGGUUAAAAGGGGCUAAACUUUAGCUGCUUAUGCAUAAGCAAGGCCAUCCAAAUAGGCCCUAAGUAUGUUUGGCGUUGUAAGUAGGUUUUAUUUAAUUUCCUAGGCAUUUAAAUUUCUUUCUAAAAUAAGUUAAUGAAUCAUAGGAGUUCAUUGUUGCAUUCACGCUGGUGCAUUGAUUUUGCCUACAAAACCUGCUGCCGUUUCCGCAGCUCCCAUCAAACCCUAGCACCCCCGCCACGAGCUCCAGCGCCGCUGCCGCCCGAGCUUGAGCACUAGCGCACACCCAUCGCCGUCGCCUUCCUAUCAAUGGGAUCACCGCCCGGAGCCCGUGUCAUGGUAAAGAAGCCGCCCGUGAAGAUCCCGUCCACUCUCGUGCCCUCUACCGCGUCCUCGAGUUCACCGGAGUUGCCAGUCUGCCACCCAGCCGCCUCUCCGAGCUUCAUGUUGUCGUUGCCACUCUAGCUGCCUCUCUGAAGACCUAGAUCGGUUUGCCGUGCACCCCGCUUCAUCCUGAGUUAAACCCCAUCAUGCCACGUCAUAGUAAGGAAGCUGCUCAUGAAGAUCCCGUGCGCUCCCGUGCCCUCUACCGCGUCCCCAAGUUCACUGGAGUUGCUAGUCCACCACCGAGCCGCCUCUCCGAGCUUCACUUCACAGUCGCUGCUCCAGCCACCACUCUGAAGACCUAGAUCAGUUCGCUGUGCACCCCACCUCAUCCUGAGCUAAACCCCAUGACGAACUGUGGUCGGAUGCUCAUUUUCGAGUGAAUUCCGGCGAGAUGGUCGCCCGCCGCCGCCAUCUCCAUCGCCCAUGCACCGCCUGUCCCCUUCCAGCCGAUGUCCGAUUGCAAACCGAUAGCCGAAAUCGGAUGUGGUCACCAGGAUUAAUACCAGUCAAACUAAGCCACGCGUGCCGCUUUUGCAAGAAGGCCCCUAUUUUUCCCUCUUUUUGCACUUGAGGUCCUAUGCAGUUCAAAAGUAAUUAGAUCAAGGUCCUUUUUCUUAUGUUUUAGCCCUAUUCUUUCAUAAAAUCCCGGCUGCCAUCCUGUUUGAAAUAGAUACGGUUAUAGAUAUGCAAACAUCUGCAUAUUUCCAACCGUAUCUCUUUCGAACGGGAGACGCCUAACUAGGUUACGUGACAUACGAACAUCAUACGGAUAGAGAGGGGUAGGAUGUCUCACCUUGCUAUCCUACAAAGUGACGACUCGAGGACAGUAAUGUAGCCUCUCCUUCAAAAAAAGAACAUACUACUAUCAAGUUAAAUUUUUGACAGCACCUCCCCUGCACGUGGAGGUUUCCAUAACCUGCAUCAAAUAAAACGGCACGAUGGCUGACAACCACAUCUACAGCACCAGAAUGGCACGAUGGCCGACUUCCACAUAAAGUUCUUAUACCUUAGAUUGCCAAGUCAAACAUCCUUUUCUAAUUUCUAAAACAAAAGCCCUCCCACCUCUCUAUCUUAUACUUUCCUAUUUACUAAUUGCUUUUGUAAUUUCUAAUUUCUAUUUCAUCCUACCACCUCUGUACCCUUUUCUCAUUUCUAAUUCCAAUUUUCUAACUUGAAGAGCAAAGAUUGAUUACUAGGAGGGGUGAGGGACGCCGGCCUAGAGAGGCGAGGGGACGUCCGGCGGCGGCGGGUGCGUCGGGGGUAGGAUGCCAGGGGCGGCUGCAGGGGCGCCGGGUUGGGGGCGGCCGGGAUCGAGGGCACCAGUAGCGGGGGCACCGGGCCGGGGGCGGCCGGCGGGGCGGGACGCCAGGGCCGGGGCGACGGGCGCCGGUGGCGAGGCCGCCCGGCCGGUGGUGGCCGGCGUGGCGCCUGGGCCGGGGGGGGGGGGCGGGCGGGGUGCGGCGCGGCGCGCCGGGGCAGGGCGCCGAGGCUGGGUGGUGGGGUACGGGGCGGCGGGCGGGGGGUGGGGGGAGGGUCGGCGGCGGGGCGCGGGGGCGGCCAGCGGCGACGGCGGAGGGCGUCGGUGGUGUUUCGGAAGUGAUACGGAGGGGGUAGAGAGAUUCGUUUUCGCGGCUGAGUGUUCGAGUCAGAAGGCCGUGCGGCUUAAGUCAGGUGGUUUGCCGAGUGCGCGCGAUCUGGCACUCGGCAAAGUCAGAAGUUUUGCCGAGUGUCAGAUCGCGGGCACUCGGCAACUGCAGCUUUUGUCGAGUGCCCUGGAUUCGGCACUCGGCAAAGUGAAGUUUUAAUUUUUUUUAAAAAAAUUUAAUCGGAACACGGGCGUGCCAGCGGGCCCGUGACAUACUUUGCCGAGUGUGUAGCAAAAACACUCGGCAAAAUAUUAUCUUUACCGAGUGUUUUCGCUAGGCACUCGGCAAAGUACACUUAUAUUUCAUGUACACUUUUUCAAUAACGUGUUUUACUAACCUUUUUCUGAUAUACUUGGGAAAAACCUUAUCAAAUUCACUCAACAAUGGAUAUAUGGUUUUUCUACUGACAUUAUUCCAUUAUUUCAUUCAGUUAUAGCUCAAAUUGAAUUUAUAUCUAUUAAAAAUCAAUAAUUGCAUUUAAUAAAUAAAAAAUACCAAACGGAUCUGAAAAAUUUCCAAAAUUUGACAUGAACCAAUCUAUGUUGUAUGUUGCCUGUACAAAAAGCUUUGAAGUCAAACCCCAAUUCAAGUGUCACUUGGACUCCAAAUCUUAUCGGAUCCUUUCUAACUUCUAUGAAUCCUUUCGGGAGAUGAGUCGGUUUGUAAGCAUCAUAUGUCAUAAAUUGGGCGAAACCUUCUCAAUUUUUUACCACAGCCUCCACAUAUAAUAUCAUGACACCUUGACAAAUCUUGUGAUUUUCAGACUUCGUUUGCUUUUUUUAGAAUUUAACAACCAUUCAACCACAUGUUCGUGAUCGUGUUUUCUAAAAAAAUGUUCAAAAUUUCUUUUCAUUUCCUGGUUGAGACCUCAAUCCGGAUUGAAUAAUAUGAAUAUGAUUUUUUCACUGAUUUUAAUCCAUUAUUUAAAUCACUUGCAGUUAAAUUUGACUUAAAUAAACAAAUUCCUAUUAAUGCUAUCAAUUCAUUAAAAAUAGCAAACAGAGAAAAAAUAGACCAACUUUUAAGAUGGAUUACCAAAUGUCAUAUGUGGGGAGUAGAAAAAGUGUGGAGAGCAGAGGUGGAAAAAAAAGUUUUGCCUUUGCCAAGUGCCUACACAAACACUCAACAAACUUUGCGGAGUGCCUAUUGAAAACACUCAGCGAACUUCUGAGUUUGCCGAGUGUCUGGAGGGAGCACUCGGCAACCUACUUAUUUGCCGAGUGUCCGCGUCGGACACUCAGCAAAGUACUAACGGCUGGCACACUCCCCUAACGGACGGCGCACGUGCAAGCCAUGUGCUGGAGAUUUAUCGAGUGUCAAAUCGUUGCCGAGUGUCGUGUGGAUGUUUGCCGAGUGUCUUAUUUGUGACACUCGGCAAAGCUAUUGUUUGCCGAGUGUAUUAUUUAUGCCGAGUGUCUUCCAGUAUACACUCGGCAAAUGAUGUCUUUGCCGAGUGCUCGACAUAAAGCACUCGGCAAAAAUUUUACACUCGGCAACAUUCCUGUUUCCGGUAGUGAGUGACCCGGGACUAAAGACCCCCGUUGUCUCUGAUUGCUUUAUUCCGGAUGGAUUUUCAGGAGAUUUGCUCCCUACCAAUAGGGACUAAAGGCAAGUUUUCCACUUAUAGCAAACCAGUUAGCCCAUUGUUGAUGGAACGCAUCACUAGAAACAGCUCGGGAUCCACUUGUCCAAUAAUCGAGAGGGCCUAUAUAUGGACCACGUGUGCGGAUCCCUAAUUAGGAAAAAAGAAUAAUGGAGUAGGACAUCUCCAUGCUCACCUAGUAGCCGCUGCUAGCUUGUGCGUGUGGAACACGAGUGCCGGCCCAGUUGGCGCUAAGACAUCGUACGUGCAUUAAGGCUACGAUCUCUUUCUUCUAACUCAUGCUUGUGCUAUUAUACAUUAUUGCAUGAUCAUCAAGAUAAGAUCGUAUAGUGACUGAGUGAGACAUGUAUGUACUAACAUGCAUUUAAGCCUCGAACUGUGUGUUGUUACGUGAGCUGCCUCCUCACCUCGCCUCUGAAUUAUUGAACCGUUUCCAACAGUGUUGGUCUCAAAUAAAUUUGACACCAAACAGAUUUAUGAAGAAGAGAGAAUAAUACUUGGAAUUGGAAAAAGUUUAUCUCUCUUUACAAUGGAGUAGGGCUCCCUUUUAUAGUGACCCAUAAGCCACUUUACAUUUGGAAAAUGUCCUUCCUCAACCACUACAUUAAUUCCUAGGAUAUGCUGUACAUAAAGGUCAUUUGAGGUAACGUGUACAAAUGAACUCUUCCACAUGGUCACGUUUCUCAUGCCUCCUGUUUUCCAACCUCGAGACAUCAUCUUCACGCCAAGUUGAUCAUCUAGCCUCGAGGCUCCAUCCACGAUCCAGAAUGAACGUCCAGGCUUGAGGCUCCUUCUUCGUUAAGCUUUGUUGAGAACUCAUAACCUCACAUAGUUCUCCUCCGAGUAUUGUUCCCGACUCAGAACACUCGAGGUUUAGCUCAGUUGGAGUUUAGCUAUUACUGUUGCUAGUCACCAGCCUCGAGCCCCUCCAGAAGCAAGGUGAUGCGAGGGUACGAGUUUUACUAUUAAAGGUGUUUCCAUAGAAUGUGCGAGGUUAAAGCACUUGCAGCAAAAGCGUGGAGCUGCUUUCAACCAGAGUGCAAUAAUGCAGCCGUGCCCAUCUUGGUCUUGGUCUCCGCCUGAACUAUAGCAGAUGCUGGCAGCGGUAGCAGGGUGGUCCAUUAUAUCUAUGGAUGGCAAUGGUCGGAUUCGGAUGGAAUCGAAUUCGAAUAGCACUUUUUACCACAUACUAAUUCAAAUCCGAAUUCGGAUUCGGAUGUUCUCGAAUGCGAAUGCAAAAUGGAUGGUUCGAAUUCGAAUACUUAGCGGAUUUUUGCAUAAUAUUAAUCGAAUAGAAUUCAUUAAAUUUAGCCAAGAAAUUAAAUUUUCUGAAAUUAAAUACUUUCCCUUCGCCCCAGCGGCGGCCUAACUCCCAGGACGGUGGCGUGCGGGGCCCGAGCAUCCCUGGCCUCUAGUGGCGUGGCGGGGCGGCAUCCAGCAGCAGCGGCGGGGCUCGGCCUCCGGUGGCGCGCGGCCAGCCCGACCUACCCGGUCAGAGGUGGCGCAGCGGUGCGCGGGCCUCCCCGACCAGAGCCGGUGGGGAGCGGUGCGCGGGGAGGACCUCCCCAGCCGGAGGUAGCAGGGCGCGACCUCCCCGGCCGGAGGUGGCUCCCUGUGGGGGCGCGGCCGUGACAGCUAGCGAGGCAAUAAUUGCUUCCGUACGCAGCAAUAAUUGCUUGUGCGACACCGUGUUAUUACUCUGGUACAGUACUCCCUCCGUUGCAGUACACUGGUCCAGGCGUCAGGACACUGCUCCUGCCCUCGUGGUUCACGUGCAUCAGGCCAGCAGACAAGCUAUGAUGUUGCCAACAGUGUUUGUUUGAACAUGGAGAUGUCAUUGUGAUUGUCAGGGACCCGACACCAUGCAUGCCGAUUUCAUAUUCUUAAUAUUUAUUUUUUUAAUGGUUGUUGAAACUAUAUAGUUACUCCAAUAUCACGUUUCCGAUUAUAAAAAUUAACAUAAAGAGAUCGGAAGGGAGAGCCCGCAUAAUGAAGCCGACGCGUAUAAUAAGCACUAGAGCCGGCAUUUAUACAAACGGGUACGCAUAGUAAAAACUAGAAUUUAUAAAUAAAUGAAGAUAUUCAAAUAUCUGGCUUACUUUUUUCAUUAAUUUUGCAUGAAUAAGGGAUGAUUCAUUAAUCAUUAUUGAACAAAUUGGCACACAUGCUUCGUGCCCGCGUUGUGAGCAUUAUGCGAUGCCACUGAGCUGCACCACCACGGUAGAGGGCCUGUUUGCGAUGCCACCGAGCUGCACCACCACGGCAGAGGGUCUGUUUGGGAAGGGGAAGUUAAAGUUUAACACCCCCCAUUUAACACCUUUUUAACAAAAUGGCUGCUAAACACUUGUGUUAAAAGAGUAGUGUUAAAAUUUAACACCUCUCUUUUCAUAAACACAUGGAGGGGGUGUUAAAAUUUGCUAAAUGUGUUAAAAGUGGUCCCCUCCCCACUUAUUCCUUGGUUGCCCCCCUCUCUCUCCUCCUCUCUCUCCUACCCGCCGCAUUUAAGAGCAUUAUUGAGGGGUAAUGCAGUCCUUUUCCAACAAAAGUGUUAAACUUUAACAACCCUUCCCAAACAUGCCACAAGCAACACCACCGGCUGACUGUGCUAGCGGGGAGCACCCUCACCGCCUGCCCGUGGGGACUUCUUCUGCCGGCCAUCGUGUCUUUGUAGGACCGCCGCGUGAGCCUAUGAGCCACCGGUGGCCGUGCGCCCAAGGGCCAUCACCAUGCCACCUGAGGAUGCUGUCUACCCGGUGCCGCGUGCCUCUGCUAGCUGCUUGCACCUGGGCCGCCGCUGGUCGCCUGCACAGCCACGCGUUACAGCCGCCCCCCUGCGCUGGGCCACCCCAUUUCGUGUUGGAAGAACUGCCACAGUCUCGCGCACUGGGGUUUUGCUAGUGACGACCAUAGCCUCCAAGAUCAAAUGAAAAAGUUGGUACUCAAAACAUACAUCCAUUAAUCUAGUCGUGCUAAUCCUUACCACCAAAUAAAAACUAGCAUGUGUUGUGUUUUUGUGACCCUAAACGAUCACAAAUGAAUAACUUAUGGGCGUUGCUAGCCUAUAAGUUAUGGGCGUUUGUGACCCUAGUCGCGCCGGGGUCUUGCUGGUGACAACCAUGGUCUUCGCGAUAAAGUAUUAAGUCUCAUCGAGUUCUACAAUUUUGAUAUAAAAUUUCUAUUCAUCCGAGAUCAAAUGAAAAACAAAUGAAAAAAUCCGAAGUAUUAGGCUUCAUCGAGCUCUACAAUUUUGAUAUAAAAUUUCUAUUCAUCCGAGAUCAAAUGAAAAAAUCCGAGAUCAAAUGAAAAGUUGGAACUCAAAACAUACAUCCAUUAAUCUUGAUAUAAAAUUUCUAUUCAUCCGACAUCAAAUGAAAAAGUUGGUACUCAAAAUAUACAUCCUUUAAUCUAGUCGUGCUAAUCCUUACCACCAAAUAAAAAAACUAGCAUGUGUUGUGUGUUUCUGACCGUAAACGAUCACAAAUGAAUAACUUAUGGGUGUUGCUAGCGUCCCGGACGCUAGCAUCGGACGCAUGAGCAGCCGUCCGAUCGGGUCCGACACCACUUCACGAUCUGUCUUAAAAAAAAGUCCCACCGAAACAUUGUUCCAUGUUGCAUGAAAUACCCCACUAUCCAUCGCCAGGUCUACAGCAAGCACCACCUUCCAAUCUGCUGCUCACCCAAGCUAAAUAGGGGCAUUAAAAUUGCAGAAAUAUGUCACAUAUCCUUGUCAAAUUAAACUAAAUCGCAACAUCCGAAAAUUUCUUACACAAAACCAUGAAACAUAUCGAUUAGAUAGGUGUAACAAGAUGGAAUAUGGUAUCCAACAUAUAGAUUCCGAAAAACAGAUGAAACAUUAUGUAACGAUUGUUGAAACAGUCGAGAAAUAUAGAUGUAACGAUUAAAAUUUAGAAAAGAAGCUUUAUGCAAAUUGCAAAAAGCUGAAAUAAGUGGUUGAAACAUUUCGAAUCACCAAAUGCCACAUUUGAAAUGGCUACAUGAAACAUCACGAAAUCAAUUGCAACAGUUGAAGAUGAAAACAUUCAAAUGCCUUGCCUUUCUCCAGAUUUGACCCUCCAAGCAUGAGUCCAGCCAUUUGCACAUUAGACCCUUGGGAGGAGCUCACCGGAGAACAACAAGACCGUGUUCUCCAACAAUUUUCUGAUCAAAUUGCAACAGACAAAACAAAGCAUUGCAACAUCUGGCAUCACGAGCUACAACAUCAACAAGUUAGGAUCAGGAGAAAGAGGGAAAACACAAGCCUAACAACCCCAAGACAAAACUGAUGUACUCAUCAUACAUCACGGCUUGCCGUGCACAGAGAUGAAGGCCGCCAAGCUCAAUCGAGACAGAGACGACGUGAUAGUGCUCCAGAUCGACGGUCCCCAUCAAUUGUUGCGUACACUGCCAAAAGCAAUGGAAGAAGAAGGGUCGUCCCUGCUCGACCUCCGUAGAUGAGCGCAGAUUGGGGGAAACCGUAUAGAGUGCCGCUGACAGCACAGGCGAGGGGGCUCAGGCUUGAUUCAGGGUGAGGGUAGCGGGUAGCAUGAGGAGACAGUCAGGUUUCAUAGGAGAGAGGCGGAGUAGAGAGCUCUGGUGACUCGGUGAGGAGGGUGCGGCACGGAGAAAGGUGUGUAGCUGAAGGAGCUACAUGGUUGGGGCGAGGCGAGCGUAGAGACUAGAGAGGGAAAAAAAGCAUGGGGAGGAGACGAUAUGUGGUUGAUGGUGCGGGCACGUGGUGAGCGCACCGUAUGAAAAUUUUGCUCGCGUCGGAUGACUGAUGUGAAGCAUUACCCAAUCUUAAUUAUCUCCCAUAAUCCAAAACUCACAAAAACAUCAAAAAUCCGCCGAGAAUAAAUUAAGUAAACCAUGCACACACAGAUAAUAAAAUUGCUAAUAAGGCCAGAGAUAAUACAUGAACAUAUUAGACUGUUCAUGACACAUAUCACGGUGGAUAGUGUCUGUGUCCUUAUUACAAGCAAUGAGAGAUGCUUGUCACCACACACACGCGCACAGAUGCAUGACAUACAUAUAGUUGAGACCAACAGAUGGAUCAACUAGAGGUCACCCCAUAUGGUGAACAAUUUAUUGGAGAUAAACAUUAACAUAACUUGGCCAUAGCUUGAAGCAUAGCAACAUAUGCCUAUGAAUGGCGUUCAUGCUAUCGUUUUAGGCUUGUCCAGCUUCUUUCAUCUUAGCAAGCACUUCCAUUUCUACCAUCUUAGCAGCAACUGUCAAAUUGAGAUAUGGAAAUCCCAUUAGCGCAUGAUUAAUUUUGCAGUGGAAAUAGAGUGCAAGAUAUCUUCAUGAUGUAAAUAACAUGCCUGAAGUUGUGAGAUGGGAAGUGAAGUCAACAAAUUACAUUAACGGAAAUGCAUGGAAGGCCACACAUACGUAUUAGUCCAUAAUACGCUACAAAGCUUGUAUGUACAUAUAGCAAAUUAAAUGCAUUAAUUGAAUAGAGUGAGUUUAGUGAAUUUACCAGAAUCGUCCAGAAAACAUGGGAAACAGCAAGUGUGCUUGCAGACUGUGUCGGAGCCACCCACACGAAUACAAAGCUGACAACAUGCUUGUGCCUCGUGGGAUACGCAGCAGCCGCACUGUGCCGCGGUGGCCGAGUUAACAUUGAGGCUCAAGAUGAACAGGCACAUGAUCACCAUCAAAGUGGUAGUCCUCUUUCCCUCCAUUGCCUCCUGUCGCUGCUACCUUCCUUGGUUACUAGUAAGUUUAUUGGUUUUGUGUUGAGAGGUGAUUCUUGCAUUGAAUGGACGUUGCCGCGGCUGCAAUUUAUAGGCAGCUGCGCUAUGUGAUGAUAUGGACAAGGUGCAAAUGGGUGGUCCUGAUAUGCAGGAGCGGAUCUAGGGCCCAGGCAGUUUAAAUUAAAGUCUCCUCAUAGGCAGUUUGACUAUGAUCAAUUUUACCUGUAUUUCUCAAUAUGUAGAUAAUUCUAUGCCAACAAUUAAAAACUAAUACAUAAUUUGACACGGUGUACCUCGAGAACGUUUUGAAAAUGUACUCUCUCGUUAGGCGUUCACCUCCUUAACAAUAACUGCGACUGUAAAAUAGGUACAUCGACGCUAGCUAAAUAAACCACUAUAAGAUUUAGCAAGAGAUCAUUUUAUACAAUCCUGUAACGAAAGAAUUUGACAAUUGUAGUGUCCAUAUAUUUUGACAAAAAACGUCUAAAUUAUAUAAGGAGGUGGGCCCGAAACAGUUGCAUUAGCAUAUGGUUACCCGUUUGUUGUCUUCCGGUCCUAAAAAAAGGACCAUCUUACUUAAAAAGGUUCUAUUAGGCCAUGCAGCCGGCUCUGUGGCACCAAAAAGAAAUUUUGACACGGUUUACAUCGAGAACGUUUUGAAACUAGACUUUGGUAAGCAGUUCAUCACCUGCUUAACAAUAACGGCGUACAUAGACGCUAUCUAAAUUAACCACUAUAAGAUUUAGCGAGAGAUCUAUUUUUUAUAAUUGCGUAUACCACUUUACGAGAGAGACGUCAAGAGCAUGAUGGUACACUUUGUAUAUAUCUUUGAAUUCCAGCUACGGGACUUUCUUGCCUUCGCCGAAAAAAUCUAUCGGUUUUAUCUUAAGGCCGAACAUCUCCCUCUCGUCAGCGAACUUCUUCAUGUACCAUUUAUGGAAUUUGUAUAUCAAAGCUUCCCUACCAACUCAGGCCUUACUGGAGAUUUGCCUAGCUCAAAGGUCCAUUUCAGUUCAACUAGCGGUCCAGCUGGCAGCUCAACUUGCCCAAGACACUCAGCAAGUCCCAUACCUAUUUCUUCCAUGAAUUUUAUUACUUCUGCUUGUUGAUGCAAGGGCAUUGCUGCUAUCUGUUUAGCGUCGUUUUCUAGUAGAUGCCCGAGGUGGGGGAUAGCACCACUUGAAGACAACUUUCCUUUCCUUUUUUUCCUCUCAUCAACCUUAACUAAUGCCCGUUCGUAGUUCGACAGUAGUGGCACUGACUUCUUGGUUGCUUCUUUCAUCUUUUUUUUAAAAAAAUAAUUCUCUUCGAUCUAUUAGCGGUGGCUCCAUCUCCUUUGCUUUUUUUUCUUCGACCCUUUUCUUGAACCACUCCCUGCAUUCUGCUUGGUUUCGGCCCAGCGUUCCGCUUGAGUCAUUGCCUCUUGGCGUUUCUCAGGAGUCACUUUAGGCUCCUUUAUUUUUUUCUUUCUCUAUCUUGGCUUGGGAGGCAAUGGUCGUGACUUCUUAAGUGGUGCUGCAGUUUCCUUGCUCUAGGCUUCUCUUAGUCCCGAUGACGAUGAUCGGGGAGGAGUGUUGUUGUCCUCGUCGUCGCUCGCACCACCAGGAUGUGGUGGAGAUGGAGACCUUGAUCGAGCAGGAAGCGACGGUCCCUGUGGUGACGACGGUCCUGGAGCAGGUUGUGCUGGAGAUGAUGGUCCUGGAGCAGGCCGUGGUGGAGAUGACGGUCUUGAGCUUUGGGGAGAGGGUCGCUGCUGGGGAUUUGUGGGGAGCAGUCUUGAGCUUUGAGGAGAUGCCUCAAUGCCGGGGAUGAUGAUGUAGCAUUUGUGCCAUAGAAUGAUCCCGUGAAGCGCAUAUCCUAGUGUCCUUUCCCCGUCACCUCCCGGGAGGUCGAGCUCUAGGCCUUCAUAUUGGCUAUCAACGAGCUGCUCUAGGCCGACGCUGGCGUAGCCAGGUGGAAUCUCAAUGCCAUGGCUUGUCUGCCCUGGCAGGAUUGGUAAGGCACUCUCAUACACCACCUGUACAUAUAGCAGAAAUAAAGAAGUUAUUAAACUCCGAUCCCGAGGUGUGGAUGGAUGAUUGAGAAGAUUGCAAAAAUAUCAUGUAUAAGUAUACCUUAAUGGUGAUGUUGUCGACCGAUUUAUGCAGCUCACAUGAGGUGCGUUGCGUGAUGACAUCCAUAGGGAACCGUUGCUCAACCAUGGGUAAUCCUUGCAUUUAUGGAUCGGGGAGCCCUGUGGAAGCACAGCUGCUCCCGAGGUGUUAAGAAGGGCUAGCGACGUUUGGAUCCGACAGUGCUCUAGAUUGGGCUAACUCCGCAACUGCUAGGGCCACUCGACAAUUGAUUUCCUCUUGCAUUCUUACUUCUUGUGAAUGCACUUUGGAUUCUAGCAUGCACCUCAAGGUCUCCUCAACAUGUUCCUUUCUUCGCUUGUGGCUUUGGUACGAAGCGAUGUCACCUUGAAAAGCGAACUUCCACGGAAUGACCCCGUACCCUCGGCAAUGUCUUGGGUGCUCGGGAUUCCCGAGGGCCAAUGUGAGCUCAUGAUUCUCUCGGUCCACCUUCAACCUCCGAGCCUUAGCAUCUUCAAUGUUCUUCAUAAGCCUUUCGGCCUUCUGACGUAUUGUCUCAUUGAAGAUCAAUGUCACAUCCUCUUUGGCUCAGGUUGCCUCCAUGAGCGUAACACCAAUUUUUCGAUUGAUCGGGCCAUUCAAGAGUUGCUGGUAUGAUACUCUGAUCAAUCAGGUUUUGUUCCAUCUUGCACCAUCUGGGAAUUGCUGUGCCCUAACCACCUCACCCUAGACGAUGAUGGUACUCCUUCUUGCCAGCAUUUGCAACGUUGGUCUUGACCUUAUUCGCACCGUCUUCGCUCGUCUUGUGUUCGACAAAUGCCUCCCAGUGGUCCCUCAACUUUUGCCACUCAUCGAAAUCCGGAGUUUAGCCAUUCUUGAUGAAUGUGGCAUCCAGCAUCUUCUUGAAUGUCUGGAAUUGUGUGGCCAUCUUCUUCAGCGUCCACGGUUUCACAUCAUCUUCAUUACAUCCUUCGGGAAAUGUGAAAUGUCUCUUAACAUCUGCCCACAGCAUAUUCUUUUCUGAAUCCGGGAGCGUGUAUGGAUUAGUACUUUUGUCCUUCCAUUCCCUGAUGCUGAUAGGCAGAAGCUAGAGACUAUUUCUUUUUCUAAAAAUACACAUGAGGGAGAAAAUUGGUAACAGCUAAACAGUGCAGAUUGCAUUUCAACACACGUUUUUAUAGCUGAGCACACGUCUGAAUCCCAUUUUUAAGUGUUCGGUCCUACACCCACAUUUUCAUCCCAGGUUGUCGGUUUAGUCAUUUUUUACCUUCCAUGACCUAUAGCACACAUUUUUAUGGUAGAACACGCAUUCAGAGGUCAUUUCCACAUCUUCGGUCCAUCCCCAUAUUUUCAUCCCCGGUGGCCAGUGUGGCUGUUUUCGAACUAACGUGACUUAUAACACACGUUUUCAUAGCCGAACACGUGUCCGAAGGCCAUUUUCAAGUGUCUAGUCUGACACCCACAUUUUUGUCCCCGGUGGCCGGUAUGGCUAUUUUUGUGCUCCCGUCACCUAUAACACACAUUUUCAUGGUCGAACACACGUCCGGAGGCCAUUUUAAGUUGUUCGGUCCAUCCCCACAUUUUUUACCCCGGUGGUCGGUGUGGCCAAUGUUUUCUUGGUCGAACACGCAUCCGGAGGCCAUUUUCACUUGUUCGGUUCGACACUAACAGUUUCAUCCCGGUGGCCGGUGUGGCUAUUUAUCGUUCUCCCAUGACCUAUAACACACAUUUUCAACACUAACACUUUCGGAGGCCAUUUUCAAUUGUUCGGUCUGACACCAAUGUUUUGGUCCCCAGUGGCCGGUGUGGCCGUUUUCAACCUCCCGUGACCUAUAACACACAUUUUCAUAGCUAAACACGCGCCCGGAGGCCAUUUUCAAGUGUUCGGUCUGACACCCACAUUUUCGUCCCCGGUGACCGGUGUAGCUCUUUUUGGCCUUCCAUGACCUAUAGCACACGUUUUCAUGGCCAAACACACGUCUGGAGGCCAUUUUUCACUUGUUUGGUGCAUCCCUAGUUUUUGCUCCAGUGCUAAUGUGGUCGUUUUUAGGCUUCGACCUAUAGCACACAUUUGCAUGGUUGAACACGCGUCCAGACGUCAUUUUCACUUGUUCGGUCCAUCCCCCACGAUUUCAUCCCCGGUGGCCGGUGUGGCCGUUUUUGGGCUCCCAUGACCUAUAACCCACGUUUUCAAGGCCGAACUCGCGUCUGGAGGCCAUUUUCACUUGUUCAGUCCAUCCCACAUGUUCUCGUCCCCGGUGGCCGGUGUGGUCAUUUUCAGGUUCCCGUGACCUAUAAUCCUCGUUUUCAUGGCUGAACACACGUCCGAAGGCCAUUUUCGCUUGUUCAGUCCAUCCCCCAUGUUUUCGUCCCAGGUGGCCAGUGUGGCCGUUUUUGAACUAACGUGACCUAUAACAUACGUUUUCAUAGCCGAACACGUGUCCGAUGUCCAUUUUCAAGUGUUCGGUAUGACACCCAAGUUUUCAUUCCUGAUGGCUGGUGUGGCCAUUUUCGGGCUCCCGUGACCUAUAACACAUAUUUUCAUGGCUGAACAUGCGUCCAAAGGCCAUUUUCAUUUGUUCAGUCCAUCCCCCACGUUUUCAUCACCGGUGGCCGGUGUGGCCAUUUUAGUGAUCCCGUGACCUAUAAAACACGUUUUGAUAGCCGAAGACGUGUUUGCAGGCCAUUUUCAAGUGUUCGGUUUGACACCCACGUUUUCGUCCCCGGUGGCCGGUGUUGCUGUUUUUUGCCUUCCAUGACCUAUACACGUUUUCGUGGCUGAACACGCGUUCGGAGGCUAGUUUCACGUUUUCAUCCCUGACGGCUAGUGUGGCCAUUUUCGGGCUCCCGUGACCUAUAACACACAUUUUCAUGGCCAAACACAAGUCCGGAUGCCAUUUCCAGUUGUUCAGUCCAUCCCCCACAUUUUCAUCCUCGGUGGCCGGUGUGGUAGUUUUUGGCCUCCCGUGACCAACAACACACAUUUUCGUAGCUGAACACAUGUCCGGAGGCUAUUUUCAAGUGUUUGGUCCUACACCCAUCUUUUCAUCCCCGGUGGGUAGUGUAGCCAUUUUUUAUCUUCCGAAACCGAUAGCACACGUUUUCACGAGCAUGGCCUGUGAGGCUUAGCUUCUCGUAACCGUAGGUCAUGGCAGGGUUUGAUCGGUCAGGAGGCUGAAGAGUAAGUUACUUUGGGUAGUCAGUGGAAUGGGAUGCCCUUUCAUUUGGGCGAAGUGUGUGAUCGCACGAAAGUAAAGAGCAGGUGGUACUGCACCCUCGUGGAGCCCCCGAGCGACCCAAGCUAAGAGUGCUCGGGCUGGGGCGCUAUAGGAGCGAGUAUCAAAUGGAAACAACUGGUAAAACCAAGCUAGGGAAAUAAACAAUGUAACUGCUCAAUGUUCCAUGUGUUGGUGAGGAUGUUGCCGUCGUCGUCCUUCAGUCAGUAGGCGCAUGGUCGGAUCACCUCGGUGACUGUGUACAGUCCUUCCCAUGGCGGAGAGAGCUUGUUCUUAUUAUUGGUCGACUAGGUCCUUCGAACCACAAGGUCACCAAUCUCGAGGGUCCUCCCUCGGAUUUUCCUCUCGUGGUACCUACGAAGGGUUUGCUGGUAACGAGCGGAGUGGAUGAUGGCCAUCUCAUGUGGCUCCUCGAGCAGGUCGACUAUGUCCUGCUAAGCUUCUGUAGCUCGGUCUUGGUCGAAGGCCUUUACCCUUAGGGCACCGUAAUCGAGGUCGAACGGUAACACGGCUUUGGCUCCGUACACCAAUAAGAAGGGGGUGAACCCUGUGGAUUGGUUUGGGGUCGUUCUAAGGCUCCAGAUUACCACUGGGAGCUCUGUGACCCAUCACCCGGUGUGCUUUUUUAGCCGGUCGAAAAUGCAAGGCUUGAGCCAUUGGAGGACCAUGCCAUUCGCUUGCUUGACCUGAUCGUUGGUUUGUGGGUGCCCGACCGAGGCCCAGUCGAUCCUAAUGUCGUAUCCAUCAUAGAAAUCCAGGAACUUCUUGCUAGUGAAGUUUGUUUCGUUGUCUGUGAUGAUGCAGUUAGGGACGCUAAACCGAUAGAUGAUGUCAAGGAAGAACUCGACUGCGUCUUGUGACCGGAUGUUGGUGAUGGGCUUCGCCUCAAUCCACUUGGUGAAUUUGUCCACCGCCAUGAGUAGGUGAAUGAUGCCACUCGGGGCCUUUUUAAGGGACCCAACUAUGUCGAGGCCCCAGACCGCGAAUGACCAGAUGAUGGGGAUGGACUAGAGCUCUUGCGUCGGCAGGUGAGUUUUCUGAGCAUAGAACUGGCAGCCUUCACACUUGUGGACCACCUCCUCUACGUCUUGAAAUGUUGUGGGCCAGUAAAAACCUUGGCAAAAGGCUUUCCCGACCAGUGAUCUCAGGGACGCAUGGUGUCCGCAGAUUCUGGCAUGGACAUCAAGAGAAGUUGUUUCCCCUAAUUGGUCGGGAUGCACUUCAUGAGUAUUCCCGAUGGACUUCAUUUGUAACGUUCAUCACCGAUGGCGACAAAUGUCUUGACGCGUCAAGUGAUUCAUCGUGCUUCAAUCCUCUCCAGUGGGAGGACCUCUUCGAGGAUGUAGGCGAGUAACGACGCUCUCCAGUUGGUUGGGUCAUGCACCAUUACGUCAGUGCUUCUAGGUGAGGUCGCCAUAGGGGCAUCAGGGUCGGAGCCCCUGAGCACGCAAUCGGACUGUGACUGGGUUGGGUCCUCUCGGACACGGGCAGAUGGUUCAUGGAGGUCGUUCACGAAGACUCCGUUGGAAGAUGGGCCCCAUCUAGGUGCCAAUUUUGUGAGGAAGUUAGCAACAUCAUUGUCCUUUUGUGGCACAUGAUGUAGCUCGAUCCCUCGGAACUUGUCUUCUAACUUGCAUACAUCUUGACAGUACGCUGCCAUGAGAGGGCUCCUGCAGGAGGACUCCUUCAUGACUUGGUCGACCACUAGCUCCAAGUCGCCGCAGCAUAAAGCCGCAUCUCGCCGAGCUCGAUGGUGAUACGUAGCCUAUUGAUGAGGGCUUCGUACUCCAUGAUGUUGUUCAAGGUUGGAAAAUGGAGACGGAUCGCGUAGCGGAGCCUAUUCCCCUGUGGUGAGAUAAGGACCACUCUAGCCCUCGAGCCAGGUCCCAUGAUCGAACCGUCGAAGUACAUCAUCUAGUACUCGUGGGUGACAUCCAGGGUCAGGAUCUGGACUUCCAUCCACUCGGCGAUGAAGUCGGCCAGGUCCUAAGACUUGAUAGCUAUGCAGGGGACGUACUUGAUGUCAUGGCCCAUGAGCUCAAGCAUGCACUUGGAGAUUCGCCCCAUAGCAUCACGGUUGCAGAUGAUCUCUCCCAGCAGGUACAAGGUGAUGAUCGUGACCUCAUGGUCGGUGAAGUAGUGUCGGAGCUUCCGGGUUGCCAUCAGCAUGACGUACAGAAGGUUCUGGGCUUGGGGUAACGCAUGUUGGCGUCAUGUUGACACCAUGUUUUGACAUACGUCAAACAUGGCGUCAAAAGAAAAUAGAGAUGCCAGCGCAUAGUGGAAGGACAACGGCUAGUGGAAUCGACUGGUAAGGUUGUAGAGGGUUGAGCCGAUAGAGUAAGGCAGAAGCCUAGGCGAUGGGAUCACAGGGGCAUAGCCCAUAGAGUCAGACGAUGCGAGCAGGAGGGUUCUAGCCGAUAGGAAAUGUUGGAGGUUCGGCCGAUGAGGAGCUGGUUUUGGUCGGUAGAAGCCAAGUUCGUUUCUGACUCCUACAUGAGUCAUUUUUAUUUAGAAAGUUUGUUUCUUUAGAGAUAGGUCUUAUGAUUUGUUGUAACCGACUAGGAUUAGAAAUCUUGAUGUAUAGGGUAUAAAUAGGGGCCUUGUAAGGUUUGGAAAAGACACACACAUCAUAAUCAAUACAAAUCUACUAUUUUCGCAAUCUACUUUCAAGUCGACGACUUCGCCAUUGUUUUGUUUUCUUCACGAGUUCUUCCAAGCUGGUUGGGCUGCAUUGCUUCGAUCUCCAGCUAGACUGUAAGUUUCGCGUUUACUGAAUACCUCCUAGGCUUUAACUUUGGGUGCAUUGCUGUCAUUUCGUCUGGAUUUAUUCACAAGUUAUCGAUAUUUACUGGAUCUGCAUGUUUUAUUUGUUAAAUCUUGUUGCUUUAGUUUUUAUCACGGUUAUCCAGCUUAGAACACAUUCCAAUCAGCUUUUUCUUUAUUUCUCAUACUAAUCUACUAUCACCCAGCCGAUUAGAUCUGUUUUAAUUGGUGUUCAUGUAAUGCUAUUUAGGUUGUAUUUUACGCUUCCUUUACAUCUACUACAUCCACAUCGGCUGAUCUAGCCGAUUGUCUUUUCUCGUGUCGGCAGCUCUACGAUACGUCCUGUGGAGCGAUUUAGAAUGCCAGCUGAUUUGCUCUUGUAUUUGACAUUUUACCUGUCCUUUUCAAUCAAUAGGUCAGAUUGACUGGCACACCAUGGAUCGAUAGGGCUACAACCCAAACAGGAGCGAAGCAGAUUCUCCCCGGUUUUGUGUGUUAGUGCGCGGGAGCCGUCUCUCAAUUUUUGCGUCAACACAUCGGUGAGUACUUCACUGAUGAAGUACACCGGUCGCUGGACCUUCAGCGCAUGUCCUAGCUCCUCUCUAUCGACUACAAGGGCAGUACUAACCACGUGGUCGCUUGCCGCGAUGUAGAGGAGAAGGGGUUCUUCCUGCUCGGGAGCGAUGAGGACUAGGGCCGAAGUCAGCAAUGCUUUGAGGCUUUCCAAAGCCCAUUGUGCCUCCUCCAUCCAGACGAAUGCGUCUGCCUUCUUGAGGAGUGUGUAGAGAGGCAUCCGUCGUUCGCCUAGUUGGGAGAUGAACCGGCUCAGGACGGCCAAACAACUAGUGAGCCUCUGUAUGCCCUUGAUGCUGUGUAUGGGGCCCAUGUUGGUGAUGGUCGUGAUUUUUUUGAGGUUGGCUUCAAUGCCGCGCUCGGACAUGAUGUACUUGAGCAGCUUCCCCUUUGGAACCCCGAAAACACAUUUCUCAGGAUUAGUGGGGUUGUGGUGCUGCACUACUCCAGAACAACAACACUGCGGCACGCUUGCUCAAUCAGACGGCAAACCAGCCUGCUCUAGCAUACAACCUCCAUCACCAUCGGCUCCGCAGCCAGCCGUCCAGCGUUAUCAGCAGCAUCCACUAGAAGUCAGCAGGGAGGAUGGUGUUUUGGAUCCUCACAGGGAUGGGUCACCUAUAGUGGUGUACGAUGAGGCAACCAGUGUGUUGCGGCAUGUUGAUUCUUCCCGCCAGUUGACCUAGCCGCAAUAUCUGCAACAUACAUCGGCUAUCCAAUAGCCAAUUGUGGUGCCACAAAUUCAGCAGCAGGUGCCAGUGGGCCAGCCAAUGCUCCAACCUAUGGUCCAGCAGUAGCCGCAACAGGUUGAUUGGGCCGCAAAGAUAGCUGGGGUGAUGCAAGAUCAGUUCGGUCUAAAACCUAAAGUGCAGACCUACACGUACAGAAUGCCGUACCCACCAGCCUAUGACAUGUUGUCGUUCCCUCACCGAUUUCACCAAGUUCUCGGGACAAGAUGAGGCAUCUACGGUGGAGCACGUCAAUAGGUUCAUCAUUCAGUGUGGAGAGUCAGCUGUGCAGGAUGCUCUGAGGGUUCGGCUGUUCUCAUCAUCUCUGUCCGGGUCAGCCUUCCAGUGGUUCACGACGCUUCCACCUAACUCCAUUAUCACCUGGGACAAUCUGGAGAAAUAGUUCCACAAAAACUUUUUUGCUAGGGUUCACGAGAUGAAGCUGACAGAUCUAACUAGUCUCAGGUAGAGGAGUGAUCAAUCGGUGGCCAGUUUCAUCCAACGGUUUAGGGAAGUCAGGAACAAGUGCUACAGUUUGGUCUUGAGCGAUAGCCAACUAGCCAACACGGCUUUUUAGGGGCUUCACAGGAGUUCGAGAGUUUGAGCCAGAUUGUACACCGGUUGUCAAACCAAGACGUACACCCAUUUGAUUAGAGAAAGAAUUUCCAGAAGAAGGUGGCGUACGUGGAGUGUUUGGACUUAGAAGGAGAAGCAGAGGUCAGCUUGGCAGAGUGGGUUAAAGUCCAAAAAGCCGAUCUCUUGCCCGUACGGCAAGAAGGAGCCUGAGAAAUUCGAGUUCAAUAUUUCCAAGGCCAAUAAGAUCUUUGAUUUGUUGCUGCAAGAAGGGAAAAUCAAGCUCUCACCAUACCACACGAUCCCAUUGACUGAAGAACUUAAGAAGAUCAAGUACUGCAAGUGGCACAAUGCCACAUCUCACAACACCAACGAGUGCAAAGUCAUCUGCCAGCAGAUCCAAUUAGCUAUUGAGCAAGGGAGGCUCAAGUUUAAAGCUCCUUCAAAACCAGCAAAGCCGAUGAAGAUCGACCAACAUCCAUUCCCAACAAAUAUGGUAGAAGUCGGAGGCAAAAGCGCACCUCCCACAAAGGUGCUGACAUCAGAACCAGCCAAGAGGAGUGGAGAUGUGGACCCUAGAGUAUAGGUGUCGGCCAACGAUGUCAAGUUGAACAGUCAGUUGCAAGAAGGUUAAGCUCAACAAGGCCUCAAUGGCCGAUAUCCUCCCAAGAGUUUCUCAAUAAGUUAUAGAGAUAGCAAGACCAGGCAAGGCACCGGGAAGAGAUGACACAUCACCAUGAAAACCACUGGAGAUGCCCAUUCUUCAUAUACUGCUAGGAGGAGCGGAUCAAGAUACCAUCGAUUGACAACUACCCCGAAUGCAAUGGGUCAUACCAAGGCAGCCGAUUGUCCAAAAGACCGUGCUUUGAUGAUAGGAAUCAAAAGCCGAUCAAUAGGGAUAGACCUUACCAUGAUGACAGGUGCAUCCCAAUGCGUGAUUGACUGGGGGGGCAGGAUCAGUAUACAUGAUUGGCUGGAGGGCAGGCUAAAUGUUCCCAACAGACUAGAGGAAAGAGCCAAUGCAAGAGUCCUCGAUGAAGAGCCUUUGUGUCGCGAACCAGAGCGGCGGCGUGCAUCAUGAGACAAAGCUAUAGAAUAGCCUAGAUGGUGCCCAGCGGGUUUGACUAAGUCCCAGAAGAGACGGGUUCAAUGCAUGCGACAAUGGGAGUAUCAAGAAGAGGAACAAAGGUGUGCUUCAGAAAGGAAAGGGGUCAAAUCCUAGGUGUGGCACAUCAAAGACAAAGCCGAUGACGAAGAUAACAAUCCCAAAUCAGCUGUUGAUGUCAACAUGGUUUUCGUAUUACCGAUGGAAUUCAUGGCUCCAACCAAUCACAAGGCAACAGAAGCAGAACAGGGGAUGGCACAAUUAACCUUGGAGCUGAUGUCAGCCACCUUUGAGAAACCCAAAGAUGAAAAACGUCGGCACCUGAAAGCCCUCUUCCUCAAGGGGCAAAUCGACGGGAGGCUGAUUACCAAGCUUCUGGUGGACAGUGGUGCAGCCGUGAACAUCAUGUCGUAUGCCAUGUUCCGCAAGCUCGGCAAAGGCGAAGAAGACUUGAUCAAAACAGACAUGAUGCUGAAGGACUUCAAAGGAAACAUCUCUCCGGCCCAGGGGGCACUCUGCGUCGACCUCACCAUCGGCAGUAAGACCCUAGCUACUACUUUCUUUGUUAUUAAUGGUAAAGGGUCCUACAAUAUGCUUCUGGGUCAAGAUUGUAUUCACGCCAACUACUACAUCCCGUCUACAAUGCAUCAAUGUCUCAUCCAAUGGGUCGGCGACUCAGUUGAAGUGGUCACCGCUGAUUCUUCUUUCAGCGUCGUUGCAGCCGAUGCACAAUAGUAGAAUUGCAAAUAAGUCAGCUGCAUAUCUGGCAGAGUCUAGGAUACAGAUUUCUUGAAGAUGUCCAAUUUUGGACUACAGCGAUCCAAGUAGUCGGCUCUGAAGAAUUGUCCUGAUGGAUGAGUUCACCCAAGAAGAUGGGAAGCUGGAGCAUGAGUUUAUGUCAGUCGACGAGUUAGAGAUGGUAGAGCUUGAAGAUGGGAGCAAGCCAAAGCAGACAUAUAUUAGUGCUAAGUUAGAUCCUGAGUAUAAGCAUGAACUAAUUAAGUUGUUAAAAGAAUUCAAAGAUUGUUUUGCUUGGGAGUAUCAUGAAAUGCCUGGUUUAGAUCAAUCUAUUGUCGAACAUCAGUUGCUAAUAAAAUCAGGAUAUCGGCCGUAUCAGCAACCUGUGUGACGUUGUAAUCCGAAGAUUUUACUUGAUAUUAAGGCUAGGAUCACAAGAUUAAUUGAUGUGGGGUUUAUUCGGCAAUGUCGGUAUGCUGAGUGGAUUUUUAAUGUGGUUCCCGUAUACAAGAAGAAUGGAAAACUGCACAUUUGUAUUGAUUUCAGGAACCUCAAUCAAGCCACACCAAUGGAUGGUUGUCUGAUGCCGACAGCUGAUGUGUUGAUAGAUGCUACUUUAGGAUACAAAGUCAUUAGUUUCAUGAAUGGUAACGUUGGAUAUAACCAAGUAUUGAUGGAGAAAGAAGAUAUUUCCAAGACGGCUUUCGGGUGUCCUGGACACAACGGUUUAUUUGAAUGGGUGGUCAUGACCUUCGGAUUGAAAAAUGCUAGGGCUACAUAUCAGCGAGCCAUGAAUUACAUUUUCCAUAAACUUAUCGGCAUCCUAGUGGAAAUUUAUAUCGAUGAUGUCGUAGUCAAAUCGAAAGGGUAUCGAGAACACUUAGCCGAUUUGCGUGAAGUCCUGGAAUGCACAAGGAAAGAUGGGUUGAAAAUGAAUCCGAAUAAAUGUGCUUUUGGCGUGUCGGCUCGAAAGUUCUUGGGGUUCAUGGUUCACGAGUGAGGCAUUGAAAUUAAUCAGAGGAUCAUUGGUUCUAUUAACAAAGUUGUGGCUCCGUAAAAUAAGACUGAGUUGCAGUCAUUAAUCGAUAAAAUUAAUUUCAUCCAAAGAUUCAUAUCGAACCUGUCUGGAAGGAUUCAAUCUUUCAGCCUGUUGCUUAAACCAAAAGUCGAUCAAGAGUUCGUUUGGGGGUAGAGCAGCAAAAUGCAUUGGAUGAUAUCAAACAAUACCUGGUGUCACCUCCUAUAUUGGUUCCUCCACAAGCUAACAAGUCGUUCAGGUUAUACCUCUCAGCCUAUGAGUGUGCCAUUGGGUCGGCUCUUGUCCAAGAACUUGAAGGGAAGGAACGAGUAAUUUAUUAUGUGAGCAGAAGACUCUUGGAUGCAGAGACCAGGUAUUCCCCAGUUGAGAGGUUGUGUCUAUGCCUAUAUUUCUCCUGCACUAAGCUUAGACACUAUUUAUUAUCCGCCGAGUGCGUUGUGGUAUGCAAGGAUGAUGUGGUCAAAUACAUGUUGCCAUUGCCAAUUCUAAAUGGAAGGAUUGGGAAGUGGAUUUUGACUCUGUCGGAGUUUGACCUAAAGUACGAAUCAACUAAAGCUGUCAAAAAGGGCAAGUCAUGGCCGAUUUUGUUACUCAUCAUUGUAGGCCAGAGGUUGCUAUUGUUGAGGUAGCCCAAUGGACUUUAUUCUUUGAUGGAUCUUCAUGUGGGAUUGGAUCAGGAAUCGGCAUAAUCCUUAUAUCACCUUGGGAGGCGAACUACAAGUUCUCACUGCCAGUUGAGGCUUCUGCUACCAACAACCAGGCCGAGUAUCGAGCCAUUUUGAAGGGGAUCCAAUUGCUGAGAGAAAUCAAAGCUGAUGCUGUUGAGAUUUUUGGGGAUUCUAUGCUUAUCAUCAACCAGCUGACUGGAGGAUGUGAAUGCAGAGAUGAUAUUUUAAGAAUUUACUAUGAACAGUGCCUUCAGUUACUCAAAGAAUUCAAGAGUGUGGUUAUUGAGCAUAUUCCCAGAGAUUACGAUGAGGAUGCUAACAAGCUCGCCGCAUGCUUCUGGUUAUCGACCGAUCUGUGGUGUUAUGGCCUUAGAGUUAAUGGCCGAUGAUUGGAGGAAAGAAAUAGUAGAUUACUUAAAAGAUCCCUCCAAGAAAGUCGAUAGGCGAGUUCGAUUUCAGGCUUUGCAAUAUGUGUUGCUUGAAGAUGACCUUUAUUAUCUGAUGAUUGAUGGGGUCUUGCUUAAAUACCUCAGGGUUGAAGAAGCCAAGAAACUGAUGGGCGAAAUUCAUGAAGGGGUUUGCGGAGCUCAUCAAUCGGCUUUCAAGAUGAAGUGGAUGAUUAGAAACAAGGGGUAUUAUUGGCCGACUAUACUUGAAGACUGCUUUAAAUACUAUAAAAGUUGUCAAGAUUGUCAGAAGUUUGGCAAUGUGCAAAGAGCCCCGGCAUCGGCUAUGAAUCCUAUAAUAGAGUUGUGGCCAUUUAGGGGGUAUCGAUUUGAUCGGCCAGAUUUAUCCACCUUCAAGCAAGGGUCAUAAGUUCAUACUAGUAGCAACGAAUUAUUUCACUAAGUGGGUUGAAGCAAUUCCCUUGAAAAAUGCAACAUCGGCAAGCAUGGUUGAUUUUGUCAAAGAACACAUCAUCUAUCAAUUUGGUAUCCCUCAAACUAUCACUACCGAUCAAGGGACAAUGUUCACUUCGAGAGAGUUUGAGGAAUUCGCUACUAGUAUGGGAAUUAGGUUGUUGAAUUCUUCUUUGUAUUAUGCCCAGGAAAAUGGUCAAGCUGAAUCAUCCAACAAGGGGAUCAUUAAAUUAAUUAAGAGGAAGAUCGAAGAGCAGCCAAGGCGCUGGCACACUACGUUGAGCGAAUCCUUAUGGGCGUAUCAAAUGGCUUGUCACGGAGCCACAAAAGUAUCCCCUUAUCAAUUGGUUUAUGAACAUGAAGCAGUUCUACCUUGGGAGUUAAAGACUGGGUCUAGGCGUGCAUCGUUGCAAGACCAGUUAACAGCCGAAGAAUACUCUACUUUGAUGAAAGGGGAUUUGGAAGACCUAGCGGGUCAUCGACUAAGGUCUUUGAUCAGCAUCGAAGAAAAUAAGAAGAGGGUGGCUAGAUGGUAUGACAAAAAGGUCAAGGUCAAGGAGUAUUCCCAAGGAGAUUUAGUCUGGAAGCCGAUAUUGCCGAUUGUGUCUAAAGAUCCCAAAUUUGGGAAAUGGUCGCCUACAUGGGAGGGACCGUAUCGGAUAAACCGGUGUGCUCCUGGUAAUGAGUAUAUUUUGGAGACACUUGAAGGAGAGGAGUUCACAAGGGCUCUAAAUGGAAAAUACUUUAAGAAGUACUACCCGAGUAUAUGGGUAGAUGCAUAGCCGAUGGUGUGAUGCCUCGGACUAACAUAGACGAUAUUGAGGGUAUCGCCUUUAGUCUAAAAAGAAAAGAAGGAAAAAGGCAGACACAUGGAUAGCCGAUAAAAUCAGCUGUGAUAUGGCCGAUGUGAUACAAGUCACCCUUAGAACAAAUAAUACUUGCAACACUUCGGACACAACAGGUUAUUACAUCAAAGUCAUCAUUAUAUCAUGGCCAAGACAUUCCAUUACAGGCAAAUCUGGAUGGCUCCCUAUUGAUAUCGGCAAAUACUUACUCCCUUUGGCGAGAUGUGCCUAGGAGACGCCCCAGUUGAGCCUUAGUAGUGCCGAUUUCCCUGUUGACCUGGCCCAAUUCCAGUAGAAGUUGAAUUUUCCUAGCCUCCAAACUGGCCAACUUGUCUUCGAGCAAUACACGGGGGGGGGGGGGGGGGGGGGGGGGAGAGAGGUUGAUGGCUUCGAAGGAUUGGCUGCUGCAUUUGCUGGUUUGAGCCUGCAGCUUUGAUUGAGGACAAGAUCGAUUUGAUGUCCAUAGGUAGAUGGUCUCUGAUUUGAUCACGAUGAGCUUGGAUCAAAGCUUUGUCCACCUAGGUGAGCGGCUCAUUGGAAUGAAGGAUCUGGAUGACCUAUUCAAGCUGUUCGUCCACUUGAUUUGGCUGGGAAAGAGAACAAAGAGUCAAGGUUUGGUUCAUGAUAACCAAUUCGGAAUAGAGAAAACAUAGCAAUACCUGGUUGACUGAAGAAGAGGAAGCCAUCUUGGUCGCGUGAAUUCAAUCUAGUUCGAAAACUCGCAGUGUGUGCGGUCUUGAAGGUGACCUCAAGGAAGGAGUAGGGGUCUGUAUUUAUAAGACGAAUAGACGUGUGAAAUGUGAACAAUGGUCGGUCAAAAGGGGCUUUAAAUGGGACUAGCCAUUGGCGAGUCAGAAAGAGCUGUGGAGAAACGGUCAAAUUACAUUCAAGAUGGAUAUUGAGCAUUGACAUCACGAGAGGAAUGUACCAAGUACCAGAAUACAUAAAAGCUAAUAACGUUCGUUACAAUUAUGCUAGAAGAGUUUGAAUGGCAUUUAUCGCACGCAGGCGAAUCUGAUUGGCAGCCUUUAUCUCCCUACGGUCGUCAUCGGCUGAGCCGGGUAUGUCAGUUAUGCUCCGAUGUAGCUGAAUAGCUUGAUGCGCAUGUGCUUGCUUUUCCUGCUCUAAUUGCUUGAGGACUUCUAGAAGUUGGGCGAGCUUGGUUUCUUCGACGAUGAUGGCAUCGCCGAUGCUUUUCAAUUCCUUCAUCAGUUUUUACCUCCUUGCUUUGAGCCAAUCAAUUUCACCAACAAUAUUGGGGCGAGAAUCCCUAAGAAAGCCGAUCUUGGGAUGGAUUUCAUCGGCCUAAAGCUUAUGGAAUUCCUUGUCCUUAUGCAAUUGUUCCUGUUUGGCGCGAUCGGCUGUGCGGCGUAGAGCCCUUAACAUCGGGACUUGGUGACUCCCUAUGUAGGCUGCGGGGAGGAUGGCUUCUUCUUUGUCUUCUAGGAUCUGGCCUUUGAGGUUGCGGAGGAUGUCGUGCAUCGGUUGUGCAUCUUUGACUAGUUGGCUGAUGCCUUGCUGAAGGAAGUCGAGUAUAUCUUGAAGUUUGGCCUUUAGGACAUCAGGAAUAGAUUCUGGAACCAGUGGGUGUGACAAAACUUCUUCUUCUUCGUGGAUUUCCCCUACCUGAAAUGAGAAGAGGCUGCUGUCUGGAGUGUCCUGAGCCUGCAAGGAUCAAUAAGGUAUAAGCUGAUGAAGCUAGUUGAUUGGAAUCAAUUAAUGUGCAAAAGAGUGUUCACCAUCUUCCAUUGGGUUUCUCUGGUUUGUGUUGGUGAUUCCACUAGGGACUCUUGUUGAACUGGUUCUGCGGAGGGUGGCAUGUUCUUGGAAGGUACAUUGACUGCUAGUGUUUCAAGAAUAGCGGCCGACACUUCUGGGAUAGUCUGUAUAGAAAACCGAACGAUUCUUAGCAACGGAGGUUGAGAAGGGUUGGAAUAGAGUAUGCAUUUUACCUCAAGUGUUGGAGUGAUGGCCGAUGCAGUCUCCUGUGUAUCUUUAGCCUGUGGAUCAGCCGAUGAAGGAGGCGGAGGCAUAGCCGAUUCUAGGAUGGGCUCUUCUGGUGCCGAUUGUGCGGAAGGCUAAAAGAAACAAGAGUCAGUACUAGCAAAGUAUCUAGAAAAAAUUAAAUAAGUGAGAUUACCUGCAUAGCCUCUAUCAAAAGUGAUGUAGCUACUGACGCUACUUCCGCUAGAACAGCCGUUUGGGGUGCCACCGCUGCCGUCGGAUCAGUCUCCUGGGCUGACGCUGCUGUCGGCAGGACGGAUGCCUAUGCUGAUUUGGAGCCUUUUUGAGGGUGCUUCUUACGGGUAGCCUUCUCAAGAAUAGAGACUUUGCGCUUUUGGCCUACGGCUAUGUCCAUUAAAGAUGGCGCAUCGUAGCCAAUGAGGGGGUCAGCCAAUGGAGGGACGUAAGCAAUUGGCUUGUUGCUCUAGCUAACUCUUGAAGGUGUAAAGUGAACACCCUGUAAAGGGCAAAAGUGUUAGUGGGAAGAAAAUAUCUGUAAUGAAAGGAGAUUCAGCGGAAUCAAUGGUGAUUACCCCUCCAUCAGGAUCAUUGAAGUCUAGGUCGAACUUCCUACAAUAAAUUCUUGUUGCCACAUAGAAAAGAUGAUUCUUCC